AAAUACAAAAACAUACAUCUCAUUACAACGGUGAGAGGAUCCUCACACCUCAAAUUAGGAAGACUUAAAACAACGGAUUUCGAUUUCCUUGUUCUACAAAUUGAUUGAAUAUUUUUCAAGGUCUAACCCGUUAUGUUAUCAAGCUCCAAUACGAACCUCAAAACCAUGGCUACAUACAUCUUUUCUUGAACAAAACCAUGGCCGCAUGCAUCAAUUAUCUGAGAACUCGUGUCUCAGCUGCCAAGCUUUUAAUCACAGAACAAAAAAUAUUGAAAAAACUUAACAAGUAUUAUGUACAUCAUAAUAAGAACAAAAGGUAGCUGCUACAUCUGUGUCUAUGUUUGAUCAAGAAGAUCAUUAUUUGGGUAAUUACAAGCUCUUAAGUUUGACUACUGGACAGCUAACUUUCUAGCACACAGAGAGCAAUAAUAUCUCUUCUUGGUCUUGAAAUAUAGAGGCAAGAAGCAAAACCUCCACUGGCUCUCUACAUCCAUGGCUUGAACCGUCCCUCCACAGUAUGGGCAUGCCCCGGGUGCUGGUUGCCUUGCUACCACCUUCUCAUCCUCAUCACACACAAAUACCAAGCACAUCUUUCCCUUUCUUGAUUUGAACUUUCUUCUUAAUUUCCUCUUCUUGAUCGAUGAUUCCUAUCAGAGUACUGUGGAUUUUCUUGACAGGGGUUGGGGUAUUUUAUAGAGACAACUUGGAGCAAGAUGCUUGAGAUGUCUGGAAAGAUGUAGAAGGCAUAGACAGGAAGGGAAGGGAAGGGAAGGGGAAGGAGGUGGAGGAGAGAAGUUUUGUGCUAACCGUGUGAGUCUAGAAGAUUCUGACCGACUCGGUUGAUUUCCUGUUUAUUUCUUAAGAUAAGAAUCUUUAUGUCAUGUCGCGUAAACUCGUUCAAUAAUUCAUUAGAGCAGUAAAACGCGUUUAGCAGGAUAUUUUUUAAAAAAUAAAAAAUUUUAAUUUUUUUUAAAAAUAAUUAUACAUGUAAUAAUAAAUUGACUUGACUUUUAUUAAUAUAGAUAAUGUUUGAUAUUAUAGUAUAUGAUAUUUUUCAAAUGUUUUUGAUUUGUUAAAAUAAUAUUUUUAAAAUUUUUAAUAUUAGUAUAUUAAAAUAAUAAAAAAUAUAUUCAAAAAAUAUUAAUUUAAGAAAAACGAUUUUUUCAUUGACUCAACUUUGACCGAUACUAAGUUGAUAUAUUUAGACAUUUCUUAUAAUAUUUUUUACGGUAGCUUAUUGGGCUGUUUUGAAGUCCAGUGCUUUUCUAUCUUGUGCUAAGCCCAUUUAGACUGAGAUCAUGAAUGAAUUCUUUUAUUAAAAUAAAUAUAUAAAAAGAAAGAACAUUAUAUUUCAACAUCAGAAUUAGGGACGUGCCUCGAAUAUAUAUCCUCGAUCAGCUAUAGCCUUCCAAGAAUAUUAUGCUUCUGCUUAUAAGCUCUGGGAAUUUGCAUUAUAUUUCUUUUUUAUUUUAGCGGUGUUCCUAGCUUGAAGGUUUUUCACUAUAUAUAUAUAUAUAUAUAUAUAUGGUGCAAGCAGAAGACAGCUGCGCUAUAUUUUCACUUGCCUGGCAGAACAUGUUCCCAAGCAGAAGGUUUUUUGACAGCCAAGACCGAGGUGGAUAGUGUUUGCGUGUUGAAAACAGAACGUUUUCAUUUCUUUCUUUGUUUUUUAAGAAAAAUGAAAUAUAAUAUCUGGAAUGGUUCUGCUAGACGAUCUGGAAUAUAAUAUCUGGUAUAAAAGCCAAUUCAGAAUUUAGAAUAACCUGUCACAGGAAUAAUCUAAAGUUUAUUCUAAAAAGUCCAGUAAAAUAUUGGAGUUCGAAAAAAGAAAAAAAGCAUAUUAUGAUGUUCUAACUUUAUCGUGAUUUGAAGUGGUUACCUUCUCGAGAUAAAAAAAGAGGAAGAUAUUAGAGAUGGAGAGGACAUGUUCCCUGUCUUUUUUGUUUUUGAAAUGACAGAAAAUUUUAUUUUAUUUAUUUUAUGUUUUUCUCUCUAUUCUUUUUCAAUGAAACUCGUUUAUAUCCUUUAUGUAUGUCUUUUCUGCUAUGAAACACUAACCAAAUGCAACAUAAAUAAAUUAGUCCAAAGUUGGAAUCGGUUCUUCUCCUCCUCUUGUGCUUGUUCUUUGAUACGGACAAAUCCCUCUUUGAAAACUUGAAGUUCGAAGAUGUUGCUGGGAUAUGGAGGAGGCUAGGCCUCAAAGUUCUCUAGACUGGAUUCUCUUGGACUAUGGUUAUUUCUGUAACACGCUGCAGUUCAUUUUUUGCUGGCCCUUAUGAACACCUGGGAUUUGGUUAUUUCUGUGAGUAAUGAAGAUGCUUUUUCAGAAGUAACAUGCUGAUGUUCAUUUUUGGACACCAGAGGAAACAUUUUCAUUGAUGAAAAAGGAAGGACAAACCUGCUUAACCAAAUAAGUAAAAUUGACAGCAGAAACGCACUAGACAGAAGCAGCUAUCUACCAAGUACAAAAUUGCAUGACUGUAUAAUACAAAUUGAAUGUCCUAAUUUCCACAGCCUCAUUACCAAGGAGCAGCUGAUGGAUCCCUACAAUGUUGUUCGAAAUUUCAGUAGAAGCGCAGCAUAACUGUAUAAUCUGGAACUUUAGCGUGUUUUGAGGCUAAACUACACUAGACAGGCUUCUUUCUUGUCAACAAUGCUACAGCCACCUAAGUUAUUAAAAGAAGGCUCAACUUCAGCAGUCAAGGUAUGUCAUUAAAAAUCAUUUCCCUUCUGGUUUCCUGUCAGAAAUCUUUGAUGGUCAUAUUUUAGUAUGCAAUGCAGAUGUAGCAAGAACUUUCAAACUCAGUCACAAAACCGAAAUCUGAACAGAAGAUCUGUUCUAGACAGGGGUUAGUGAAGAUGUUUAAAAUUUAUGUAUAAUUUGAUGUUUAGUACCACAAGAAUUGAAACUGGUGAGAUGUAGCCUUCCAGAGAAAUUAUGUUUUGGUUCACUGGCUCUCCUAAAUCGUCUAAUCGUUGCCUGUUGUGCAGGGAUAACGAAGCUUUCUAAUGCAGAUCUCUUGAAUUUUGCAUUUGGUUGUGGUCAAGAUGCAUGUUGUCUUUGAUUUCAGUUCAGUUCCUAAGUUGAAGAGAUUUGUCAUAGGUGCAAACGAAAGACAGCUGCACUAUGUUUUCACUCGGUUGUCAAAACAUGUUCCCAGGAUGAGGAGUUUGACUGUCAAGACCAGGUAUGCAACAACCAGUUAGUGAUCGGUUACUCUCUUAAGAUUGAAGAAAAUGAGACAGUGAAGAUAGAGAUGGGGUAUCAUAUUUUGAAAGUACAGAAAUUCAAUCCAAAAUUAUCAUAAAAACAAAUUUAUUUUAUGUUUAUGUUUAUGUUUAUGUUUAUUUAUGUCUCUGUCCCUCGAACUAGAUAUGUUUUUGUUCCUUCUAACCUGGAACUAACCAAACACAGCCUAGGAAAAUGAUGUUUUUAUUUAUUUUUCAGUUUUUUUCUCAAGAGAAUUAUUAAUUACUAACAACUGGUGAUUUCUUGCAGGUUAUAUGCAUACCAGAAAGAAUCACCAUCUUCAAAGAUGUUGCGGAGUUAAAUCUACUUUUCAAUAGCAACACAGAAUUUGAUAUCUGAUGAUUGCUAUUCUUAGAGCCUCUCCCUCCCUGCAAAAGCUAUAUUUUGGAGGUGAGUGAUGUGUGGUGCAAUUAUUCUCAAAAGGAUCCCUUUUUUUGGUUUGAGUCUAAUGCCGAGUUCACUCUUAGUGGCUCAGUUCAGAUUAGAAAUUUAAGACGAAGAGGAAGAAGAAGAGAGAAGGGAGAAGAGCAUAUAUUUGUGAAGGAACUUCAUUAGAUGUUUAGGUUGGCUAACUUCUGACUCUACUUAAUGUCACUGCCUGUUCUAAUUGCAGACUUGUUCUUCAGAAGACAUGGACCGAGGAAAGCUUGAGCAUAGUGAACAUGUCCAUAAGCAUCUGAAGCAAGUUGAAAUUGGUGGGUUUUAUGACUCCUCAAACCAGAUUGAAUUCGCCAUUUACUUGUUGAAACGUGCUAUUUCCCUAUAGCGGAUGGUCAUCAAUCCAGUAGGGAAAUAUUGUUCUGCGUUGAGGCAGCCAUGGGAUGAAGGAGAACGUGAAGAAGCUUAUCGAAAACUGCAUGAACCUGACUAUCCACUGAAUGUAUCUGAAUCUUUUGGGAUUCGACAAUCAAGUUUAAGCUGUUUAAUGUAUUAGGAUGUGCACUUCCUUUUGCCCUUUUGUGUCUGAAGCUCUCUGUUCUUGCUUGCGUUCUAAGCCCUUGUUGAGAAUCAACUCUCUUCAAUGGCAGAAAAUGGAGAUUCCAGGCUCAUCGCCUCCUGUGUUGGGAUACAGAAAAUUGAGCUGUUUCAAAUUAAUUUUUUAUAACACAUCUAAUCGGAGUUAAUCCAACCAAUCGUGUAAUGUAAAACUAGAUUAAGAACAAAUUAAUUAAUUAAUUAAUACCGCCCAUGAGAAUCACAUACAUAACAGCAAACUUAUGACAAUGAAUCACGUAAUUUGGACCCAGUCAUCCAUUUACCUUUACACAUAACAAUACUGUGUAAAAAAAGAUUUCAACAAGAAAAAUCUUUAAGAUUUUGCACAAAGUCUCCCUUUUCUAGCUUGUUUGUCGCGUUCUUCCAUGUAAUCAAUCGCACUUCAAAUUACGGCAGAGAAAAUGUAAAAAAAAAUAAUGAUAAUGUUUUAUAGCUGGGCCGUGUUGGCGAAACCGCACAGUUCUUCACCAUUCUUUUAGCUUUGGGACUGUAAUGGCAAUUAAUUCUAAAAAUAUUUUUUAUUUUUUAAAAUUUAUUUUUGAUAUUUUAGUAUAUAGAAACAUAAAAAAAAUUAAUUGAAAGCAGAUAAAAAAUAAUUUUUUUUUCCAAAAAGCCUCUCAAGUACAUAUCUUCAUGCUUUUGAACGCAUGGUUUUCUCUUUUCAACCAUAUCUGAACGCUUUUACACAACUUUUUCCAUCUGUUCUUGAGUCUCUGGGUCAGCAUUCCAUUCCCAGGAAAAGCAUGCGAGGCUCCACUUUGAAGAUAGCAUCAAAGUGUGGGGCAAAGCUGCUCUGGCAGCGUCCAUGGAUGUCUUUUCGGAGAAGAAUAGGUUCCCUCUUCAUACACACACGUGUCGAUCAAUCCAAAGAAGCUGCUAAAAGCAUAAAAAGACCACACUGGUUCCUUCCACACACUCGCAAGUCCACAUCGUACGGCUAUACGAGAUUAUUUUAGAAAUUGUUUUAUAAUGCUUUUUUUUAUUAAAAUAAUAUUUUUAAUCCUAACCCAUCAAAACAAUUUAAAAAUAUAAAAACAUAUUCUUUUACUCUCGGUAAUAAUUCUUUUUAUGAAGCAUAGUAUGAUACAAAAUCAACUAUAUUUCUCACGGCUAGUUAACAUCUCUAUCUCUAUCAACAGUCAAAUCAAGAAAAUAUGGGAUGGUUUUCGGCGCCGUGUGAAGGAGAUUUACCUCAGCAGAAGCAUUACUGUCUGGAGAUGAAUGCCCAAGCUUCACCUAAUAUAUAAUAUAUGAUCAAGUGUUAUUAUUAUAUUAAUAAUGUCCUUGUUAAUUCGAUGUUUUGAUUGCUUUAGUUAAUUAUGCAUGACGCAAAUGCAUGAUUAAAGCAAUGUAUUUUCCUUUUCAACUAUAGUUUAAAUAUACACUCCUAGUCAUUCUUAGUACAUGUAUUUAAUUUUAAAAUUAUGUAUCCAAUAAUUUUUUUAAUUAAUUAAUAUUUACAUAUUCAAAAAAACAUUUUUAUGAUGUGUAUAUGUGUACUUGCACUCGUAUGAUAGAAGGAUGCACACCUUAAUGUUCAUUUAUAUUUGGGAAUAAUUUUAAAAAUUCUUGCAGAAUUAUCAAUUAUUUUAAAUAUAUUAAUUGUUGUUUCGGACCUCUGAUUCAAUAAUUAACAAGAAAUAAUUGAGUAUAAUGCAGGUCAAAUAAUUACAAGAUCCUAUUGUUCUGUAAGAUUAUUCAAUAAUUAAAAGAAGAAUUUGAGAAAUUUUGUUUAGAGAAAAUGGCACUCUAAUCUAGAUCUUUCUACUAAUAAAAGAAAAGGGGAAUUACAACUUCUACAUCUCAAGUUAAUCCAAUAAUACAUUAAUAUUUGUAAUUAAUUAUCAUGAUCAAUAUGCUAUAGAAAAGUGAAAUUAAAUUUCAACGAAGUUGUUGAACCUAACUUUAACUGUAGCAAUAGUCAUAAAAUAUGUAGAUUAUCCAAGACAACUUUAAAGAAAAUAUCUUUUUAAAAAGUAGUAAAUUGAAAAUUAGAUUUAGACUGAGUUUGGUUAGAUUUGAAUCAAUUUUUUACUUGGUUAGUAGAGUUUUUUUUUUAACCCAAAUUGAUUUAGAUUCUAAAUAAAUUUGUCAAGUUGGUUUGAGUUUUACAAUUAUAUUUAUAGUUCGAGUUAUGAAUUGGACAGAUUAACUAGGAUCAAUUAAAAGAAUAUUAUUUCAAUCUAAAAAAAAAGAGUUAAAACAACUUCAUUUAAAAAAAAAUUUAAACUAGGAUUUGAUUAAAUUACAGGUUGAUCCGCUAAGUCAUUUAAGUUUAUUCGAGUCAACAAUAAUCUAAUUUUUUUAAACCAACCUAGGCCAGUUUCGAGUCUACCGCCAAUUCGGACUAGAUUUAGAUGAUGUUUAAGAGUAUAAUAACAAUUAUUUUUUAAAGUAUUUUUUUAUCUAGAAAUGAAUAAAAUAAUGUUUUUUUUAUUAUUUAAAAAUUAUUUUUAACAUUAAUAUAUUAAAAUAAUCUAAAAAUAUAAAAAUUUAAAAUUAUAUAAAACAUGAUUUGCAUCUUUUUAAACUGUGCUAACACAUUAUUUGUAUCAUUUUUGUUUUGGAGAGAUGGUUGCAUCAUUUUUGCUUUGGCUUGAAGAAAGAAGAUGAGCUGUUGUCUACAAGUCAUACCUAACAAAUCAAGCAACAAUGAAUGUGUGGAUGGUCUACGUAGCCCGCUUCACAAAUCAUUAUCCAACUUUGAUAGAGACGUUCUUCAAUUUUGAAGUGUUCAUCACAGUUUCGACUCUGAUCAUUUCAGCCAGAAAAAUAAAAUAAAAAAAUAAAUCACACCCAAUAUUGUUUCAAUUAUUCUAAUAGAAUAGAAUCCAAUGCCCUCGUUCGUUGAUUAUAAUUCAAACCAAACGUUGAGGGAAAAAGGAGGAAAAGGACUGGUGGGUGGCCUCUUUUAUGACAAAAAAGCAGGUACCUUGCAUAAUAAUUGUUCGUUAAAAACUUCAAGAAAAAUCUAUGAAAUUGUAUCAUACCAAAUUCUCUUCACACUUAAAAUGGGAACAAAUUAACUUCAUAGAAGGUGGAGAGAAAAAACGUGUGCUCCCUUUGGAACAGGGCACAAGGAGAAUUUUCAUACGCUACUUAGAGUAAGAUUUUUUUAGUGAAAAAAAAAAAAAAAACACUUUAAAGGGUUGAAGGCAACAUGUAGAGAAUAUUAUUCAAAAAAUUUAAUGUAAUAUAGAGAAAGGAUGCGCUUGAAAUUUAGUGUGUUUGUUUUUGCAGUAAUUGUUGUGGUUGUGAUUAAAAAAUUAUAUUAAAAAAAUAUAUUUUAUGUUUGUGCAUAUAUAAUAUGUUUUGUUAAAAUUGUGGUUUAAUUUUAUUUUGAUAAAAAUUAUAACAUGAUAUGUUUGGUUAAAACUAUGAUCGUGUUGAUGUUGUAUAUAAAAUGACUAAAAAUAACAUAAAUAAAUUCAUUCUUUUUUCUUUGAAGAAAUAAAACAUUUAGUCCAAACAAAAAUCGAUAAAAAAAUAAAAUUUUAUUAUUAAAAAAUAAAUAUUAUUGUAUCAUUAAAUUUGAAAUGUCAUCAUAAACAUAAUUCAUAUGGGAAGUUUCUUGAUACCCACGUGGUUGUUAUUGUAAAGAAUAUUAUUAAAAAAAUACUAUUAUAAUAUAAAAAAAGAUGCGCUCGGAUUUCAUCUAGAUUGAUAUUUAAGUUAAUUCAAUAAUAAUUUUUAUCUUUAAAAACUAAUUAAAUUUUUCUAUCAAAUUUUAAAUUCAAUAUUAGAUUAAUCUCAAAUAAAUUUACUUGAUACAUGAAACAAGAUUAGUUUAGUAAUUUUAUUGAUUACAUAAAUCUUUUUGGAGUAAUUUCCUUGUCACCUACUACCGAUUAGCAUGUCUAUACAUGAAAGAGAGGGAAGAGGAAACCUCAAAUUAUCACGUAACCUUUUACCCGAUCCUCAAUUUUGUUCCAAGACCAAAAGUUUAGUGGUUAGGUCUCUAUCGUCUUAAUUUUUUUUUUAAUUGAGUCCUACCAUGCUUAUCCAUACUAAUACUAGUAUAUAUUUUUCUUCUCUUUUCUCCAAUUUUUUCAAGAAAAAAGUCAUUCUGUUACAUAAAUAAUUAUAAAAAACAAGGGCUAAGAAAACUUUUUAUAAUAUUCAAACUGUAAUUAGUGCUAUUUUAUAAAUUAAUGUUUAAGGUAUUAAUUAAUAUUUGUUGACAUCGGCUAUAACUUGAAUACCAUAAAAUUUAUCGGGAAUAGGAAUCCAGACAAGAAAUGUUUGAAACAUCAGUGACCCAAUCGAUGAAAUAACUUGUUUUGGGCUGAAACAUGAGAAAUGAUAAUAUAUUAGGGACAAAAUUUGAGAUUUUCUCAAAAUAAAGAUAGAGAAAUCCAAGUGGGUAGUCACAUAUCAUAUCAAGCAAAUAAAUGAGAUCUCAUCCAAAACAGCGCCAUGAGAGCUGGGCCACCCACACUAAUUAUUAAAGCUAAAAAAAAAAAAAAACCAACCCCACUCUCGGUGGUUGCAUCUCAUAGUUGGCCAGAGGAAACCAAACCAUUAAUCCCACAAAAAUCUUCUCCUGUCCAAAUUUCCCAUCUCCCUAACCUCGCUAGCUAGAAAGCUAUCUAGCCAUGCUUAGCCACAGCAGCAAGAUUAUCAAAAGAAUUAGACUUCCUCUCCCCACCGAGAAGGCUUCCAAUUACAUCACCGCCACAUGAUUUCAGUGAAUUCUUGGAAUUUCUUCAGGUUUUAUGGUAAAGUGAUUUCAUGAUUUGCAGGAAUUAUGGUACGUCACUGGAUAGCUUCUGUUUUGUAAGUUACUACAAAUUCCUUCCCCUUAUUCCGGUUUCUAGAAAAACAAAAACACCGUCCUAAAAAUAACAUUAAACUACUCAAGAAUUAUUCACUUUUUUGACAAGCCAACUAUCUUGCCCUGUAAAGUACCCAUCUUACCUUGUCAUCAUACACCACCUCCCCUUUUUCCAUCCCUUCUUCUUCAAUCUCUCCUAUGCUAUAAAUUUGCUGGCACCCCAUUCCGUUCCGGUGCCAAGAAAUGGCGGAUUUGAGUGAAAAUCAAGAAAAAACCGAAGAGAAACACGUUGAGCCUCUGAUUCCAGGGUUGCCCGAUGAGGUAGCAGAGUUGUGUCUUCUCUACCUUCCAUAUCCUUACCAAGCUUUGGUACGUUCAGUCUCUUCAUCAUGGAACAGGGCAAUAACAGACCCUGCUUUUCUUGUCUCCAAGAAAUCUCUGUCCCUUUCCUUGCCGCAUGUCUUCGUGCUUGCAUUUCAUAAAUCAACGGCCAGGAUCCAGUGGCAGGCUUUGGACCCUCGAUCUGGCCGGUGGUUUGUCCUACCCCCCAUGCCUUGCCCGAAGACUGUUUGCCCACCAGCGUUUGCAUGCACCUCAUUGCCACGUCAAGGGAAACUAUUGGUUUUGGGUGGGAUGCGGUCGGAUACAGAGACUUCAAUGGACAGCACCUUUAUCUACCGUUCAUCUACGAAUCAAUGGUCCAUAGGGUCCCCGAUGUUGACCCCGCGGUCGUUCUUCGCCACCGGGAAUGUUAAGGGCAAGAUCAUAGCCGUUGGUGGUAGUGCGUCCGGGAUAAGCGACUCAAUCACAGCCGUUGAGUGUUACAACUCAGAGAGUGGGAAGUGGGGCCCAGCUGCUAAAAUGCGCGUGGGGCUCGCUAGGUACGAUUCAGCUGUGGUAGGCAACAGAAUGUACGUGACGGAAGGGUGGACGUGGCCCUUCAUGUUCUCACCAAGAGCAGGGAUCUACGACGCCGACAAGGACACGUGGCAAGAGAUGAGUAAUGGGAUGAGGGAGGGGUGGACGGGACUGAGCGUGGUGCUCGGCGAUAGGUUGUUUGUGAUAUCAGAGCACGGUGACUGCCCGAUGAAGGUGUACGUUCCUGAUCUCGACACGUGGCAGUACGUGGGCGGGGACAGGUUCCCCAGAGAGGCAAUGCAGAGGCCCUUCGCCGUGAACGGAGUGGAAGGGAAAGUGUAUGUGGUGUCCUGUGGGCUGAACGUGGCAGUAGGAAGUGUGUACGAGGCAGACAAAGGAGAGUUUUGUGUGAAAUGGCAAGUUUUGGUCGCCCCAAGAGCUUUUCAUGACUUUGCUCCUUCGAAUUGUCAGGUGCUUUAUGCCUAAAAUCUUUUAUUAUUAGGAUUUAAUUGUUAGCUAGUGAUCUAUUAUUGUAUGGCCAAGGUGGAGAUCUCUUGUUCUUGUGGUUAAGUUUUGUUUUGUUAGGCAAUUUUAUAUGCCAUUAUACUAGUAGUUUGGUAGUGCUUUUUGGGAGUUGUUUCUUCUUGCUAAUAUACAAUUUAGGCAUGUUCCCCUGUAUUUGAUCAUUGAUUGCAUACAUUUCUUGAGGUGUUUUGAAAUUCCUAUUUUUAACAAUAUAAAAAACAUCAUAUCAUAACGAUUUAAAAAUAUAAAAAUAUUAAAUUUCUAGCAAAUAUAGAUUUAACUGGAUUCCAAACAGUAUAUUAGUCUUUUUGAGUAUUUUGAAAUGAAAAAUAUAGUUUUAACUGGAUUCUCAAACAUAAUGGUUUUAUCUUUCCUUUGGCAUGGAUGUUAAGGGUGAGCAUUUUUUAUUCGAUUUGAAUUUUACUUAAAAAAAAACCAACUUGAAUUUCUAUUUUUCUAAGAUUUAAAACUGAAAUCAAGCAAAAAAAUGUUUAAUAUGGAUAUUUAAGGCUCAAAACUAGAAAAAAUCGAUAAAUUAAGAUUCUUCUAUAAAAAAAAAAGAAGACAAAAGGGGUAACUCAACUAUUCAAGUUUUUAUGAUGAAGAAUGGUAACUCAUGCCAUCUAAGCACUCCCUGCAUAAACUUGAGACCGAGAGACUGGAAGAUUGAGAGAACUAGAAAGCUUUUCAAUUCAUUCUAAGACUCUAUCUAAACUUAUCCUGUAUGUUUUAAUUCAAUAUGUAUAUUAUUUUAUAUUAAAUAAUAAAUAUUACUCGGAUAAUGAUAUAGAAUAUGGAUACAAUACAAGAAAUAACUUGGUAAGAAUAUGGUCCGUGAGUCACCAUUACCAUCCACACAUAAAUAUAUACUCAAAUAUUGCUUGAUGACAUCUUAAACUACUCAUGAAAAGCAUGUGUGAAUUCCACCUUUACGUGAAAUUGAAGCAUAAUUUCAUUUAUGUAUUGAGUAAUUGCACCUUAUAAAUGGAUAGUCAUAAUUUAUUGAGUUAUCGGGCUGCUUCGUUGAGAAAAUAGAAUAACAAAGACUAUAUUAAAAAUAAAUACAAUUUAAUCUUUAAAUAAUAUAUUUAUCUGGUCGCAAUUUAAGUUCAAAUAGUAUCUCGAUUAAUUAAUAAAAUUUUCGAGACAUUUUAAGCAGAAAGGGUCAAAAGAAUUAACCAUGUCUCACAAUGCUACUUGUAUUUUAUGAAUUAUGAAAACGGCCCCUGAUAAACCAAUAAUAUUUUCCCAAUAAUAUUUUAUUAAUUAAUACUGGUGAUUUUGACUUCCAACGAGCUGUAUGUUGGUAAUCACAAGCAUACGCGUGGUGGUUAGACUGUUUUAAUAAAAGAAAAAACUCGAAUUAACCCCUAAAGCAUUGCCGAAUUCUUAAUUUUAUCACAAGGAAAGAUAUUCUUCUCAAUUGGAUCCCUAGUUCUUCCAAUGUUGUUUAACUGGGUUCUUGUGUCCAUGCCUGUCUGUAUGUUUCAUUUACAUUUAUUCAAAAUGGUAUAAUUUUAUUUCAUAAAAUAUGUACAUUAAAUGAAAAAUACAAUCACACAAGGAAAAAUAGGACCCAAAAAACAUCAGGGACCUAAUUUAUAAACUCCUUUAGGGACUAAAUUGACGAUUGUCUUAAAGAUUAGGGACAAAACUCAGGGUUCCCCUUUAAUUAACUAGCUACCGAACAGAAUGCUACAGUUCUGAUGAAGUGAAAUGCUUGCCUUCUGACAGAGGAAAUUAAGUGCAAACUUGUCUGAUUCAGAAGGGCUUUUGGCCUAUGACAUUGCCAUGAGGAUCAUAGUUACAUGUGAUGAAUGUAUCUCCACUUCUGCAAGCAACUCUUGCACAACCAACCUUCAAGCUUUGCCUCCAAACUAUCUGGGUGUAAUGGAGGCAAUCCUUGUUGUGAGCACAUGUAUUUGUCUUGUAGCUGUAGUCACCCUUCUCUUCAGACCAAGCAGCAACAGCAUCCCCAGGUUUCCAGUCCUUGCCACUGCCCCAAAACAAAUUCUCGCCGUAAUCGCUAUUCGAAUGAAUCAACGCACAAUCUUCUCGUCGCCGAUGAGCCCAGGAUGAAGCAAAAUUUGCAAGCUUCUUGCUCCAUCUAAGAGGAGGGAGUCCUAGCUUUGCUCUCUCAAGGUUGUGGGGUACUAAAUACUGUUUCACUAUGUUACGAGGAUUUGUAGUUAAUAAACGUCUUGAAAGAAGUUUAGGGGAGUUUUCAUGACCUGAGUCUGACACAGAGAGCAAAGGGAAAGAACAGAAGAAGAGGAGGAAGGUUCCUAAUGCCCUACAUGAAAACAAGGCUCUAACUUCCAUUUGGUAGAGUUUAGAGGUUGAGUGUGAGGAAAUUCUAUUGGUGAUUCGUAGCUGAUGUAUGGCAUCUGUAUAUAUAUGUGUGAGAGAGAGAGAGAGAGUGUGUGAUUUUGUGCACAAACAAGUUGCAAUUUCCAUGUUGAAAAAGAAUCAUUUCAUGUGCGCAGGCUGAUUUGAAGGAGAUUUGAGGUGGAAAACACGUUAGACAAUGUGAAGCAUAUGGUCUCUACAGUUGAUCUUUAACUAACAAAACUGCCUCCAAUCAUUGACCAACCUCAAGUGUUCUUAUUUUAUUUGCCAUUUUCAGAAUCAAGAUAGACUCAUGGAGAAUAAGCUUUAGAUUGUGCCUGUGACAGGUUAAUUAUACUAAAUCCUGAAUUGGUUUUUAUUCCAUAAAAUUUCAUGUCAGGUCAUCUUGCAAAACCAUUCCAUCGUCGUCAGCUCCAUCGUCAACAGGGAGAAGGAUUAGCUCAUUAAAUAUCUCGAUUCGCGGUGUUGAGUCAGCAACUGCAUAAUAAACAGGAACUUGUUUUCUGAAAUUGAAUGCAAUAAGAAUUAGUGCCCAAAUGAUUAUCUAUUCAACUUCUGCUCUUUGUUGGAAUGACGAUUUAUGAGUUCUAUAUCCUAUGACCAGAUCACAUGAGUCCAUGUGAAAUUAUGAAUCCCAACUUGGCAAUUAAGAAUAGCAGCCAGGACUGAAACAACCAUAGAUUCCCAGCGACAUGGUACAGCCUAGCCUAGUCACAGUUAACCCAGAAUAGAGUCGUGGAAUAGUCUUAAACAGCCCUCUCAAUUCAAACGGAUAAGUUUAAAAGUUCUUUGAACUAGGUACUUAUAUACUGCUCCAACAUACUUGUCUAUUUACUCUCUACAAUGACCUUCACAAGUUUCACAAAAAUCAGAAUUUACAGCAUCCUGAAGCAUGUUGAACCAAUCAAAUUUGAGGGCUUUCAGGUAACAGCAGACAUCCUUUUAUCUGUCACAAAAAUGAUGAUCUUCACUGUGAUGCUGCAGCAGGUAUAUGUCAAUGGUCCUUUAUCCCUGUUCUUAAGAUGGCAAGAACAUAACUCAAACUUGAAAUAUGGUCUCUUGUCUUGUCACUAUUGUUCUUUCUUUCUUUCUUUUGGUAAAUGGCCAUCCUAGUUAAGGUUCCAAACAUGUUUGUGCUGGUGAUAUCAACUUCCGGUGCAGCCUGGUAGCUUCUCAUCCUCUUUGUUGAAGAGGUCUCGGAUUUCUAAUGACAAAUUAUUCUUCUUUAUCCCUUUUCUAUCCACCAUUUCCAAAGUUUGAAUAUUAUUUCACACUGCUGCUACCACCACAGCUUCACUUUCUAAAAUCAUAUCAUAAUUAUCAUAUCCGCCCCAACUCAGCGAGUUAAACUGAAAAAUUCAUAGGAAUUUGUUUCGAGUUGGGUUUUGUGACGAGGGACAAAAAAUUAAUGAUAAAUAAAGUUAAGAAUAAGAAGAAAAUGAGUUAGAGAAGAGAAAAAAAGGAGUUAGAAAAACAGGAAGAUUGGAGAUUGAAAAAAUCAAAAGUCUCAAACUUUUAUCCAAUCACCAUAAUCUUUCUAAUAUUUUAAAAAAUAACAUAGAUUUUAAAAUCUAACUAUAACAAACACAAUUAUGUUUAUAACUCAUUAAAUAGAAUAUUAAACACUAACUAAAUCAAGCUCAACUAAUAAAUCCAAAUAAAAUCUGAACCGUUGAUCAUUAGAUAUGUAAAUCUUUGGUGUUCCAUCAAUUUAAUUUAAAUAAAAAAAAAUUAAUCAGGCUAAACUCGUGUAAACAGUAAAAAAUAUCAAUCAAACAAUAAAAAAUGUUAUACAAAUAACAGUUUAUUACAGAAAAUAAAUAUUUUAAAAAAAUUAUUUCCAUGAUUUUUUUUCAUAAUUGUUUUUCCAAAUAAAUCUAUUUUCUUGCAAAUAAUUGCAGCCUUAACAGAUAGUAAUAAAAAAUACAUUGUUAAAAAAUACAAUAAAGGAAAUAAGCAUACUAAUUUUACCAAAAUAUUUUCCCAUCGGUGCAGCAUGCUAUUCAACUGAUGAAACUCUUUAAAAUUAUUUGGGAAGAAAAACAAAUGAAACCUUAAAUUAAUUUUAACUAAUCAAGCACAAUUAACCUUCCCUAAGAAAAUCACAAGCCCAGGCCCACAACCAGUCAAAUGGGUAGGGUCAUCUAACCGGUCUCUAGCACACUGCAAGUCGUUUUCGCUUUUCUGCCAUCCAUUUCUCAAUCCAAAAACCCUCUGAUUUUCGAAAAACCCUAAAUCGAGUUUGAUAAUGGCUUUUAGAGGGAAUGAAAUGAUGAAGAAAAUAAUGUCAAAAAUAGGAGGAGAGAAGAACUUGGCUCCUGGCGUUAAACAAGCUCUCAAAAAAGCAAUUCCUAAUAGCAAAGUUGUCAUGAAUCGAGCCAAACGUGGCCUUUUUGCUGGCCGUCAUAUCCAGUUCGGUAAUCAAAUUAGUGAAGAUGGAGGUAACAAGUAAGCUCCUCUUCACUCUCAAUCUCUUCUAAUGGCUAAUGGGUUUCUGAUUUCUUCUGGGUUUUGACUGAUAUUUGGUUCGAUGCUUGUUUUUGUUGUUGAUAUGAUGCUUUGGGCUGAGGAAUGUUGUGGGGUUGUUGGUAGUGUGUUGUUCUGUGUGUAACGAGGAAAAAGGUGUGAGUUUGUUUUGGAAAAUGGGCAUUGAUUUUAGACGAAAUUUGAUAGUUUUUGAACUGUGGAUUUUGUUGCUGUUGUGGUAAAUUUAGAUUUGUAGAAAUAAUCUGGUUGUUGAUGUGUGAUUGUUGAUGAUGGAAUCUAAAUUGCUGCAUUUAUGAGUCAAGAAGCUAAUAUGGCGACUCAGAUGUUGAUUGGAAAUGUUAAUGUAUCAUUGCCAGAGAAGGGGACGAACUUCUGUGAUUGAAUAGUUUUAAGUAGUUUACUUGUAGGUAAGGAGUGUUUUACCAUUAAGGUGUUGAUUUCGUUUAUCUUGAUUCGUUAUUGAUUUUUGAAUGUGCCGACUUUGUAUAUUUUUUAGAUUCAGUGAGGAGGUUCUGUUCCCAAAGAAGUAGUCUUUUGGGUAAUUUGAUACUGGUCAGAACUUGCUCAGUUGUGAGUAAUGUUUUUAUGUCGUCUGAUUAGUGUGAAUGUGUCUGAUGAGGAUUGUGCCUGUUUGAUUGUUGUACCUUUUUAUUUUUUCUGCUGCAUGAAAGACUUGGAGCUUUCCUGUUUUUGGUGUAAUGAAUGUGUAUUAUGUGCUAUAUAUUGGGAAGGAAGAGUGAUUUAUUCUGUUGAAGUGCUUGUGUGUUGGUGAUUAUAGGAGUAGGAGAAGUUGGAAGCCAAAUGUUCAGGAUAAGAGACUGUUUAGUUACAUCCUAGACCGCCAUGUUCGAGUCAAAGUCACAACUCAUGCUAUCCGUUGCAUAGACAAGGCAGGAGGGAUUGAUGAGUACCUGCUCAAGACUCCUUAUCACAAAAUGGACACAGAAAUGGGCAUCUUGUGGAAAGCCAAGAUUGAGAAGCUAUAUGAAGAGCUUGGGAACAUGGAGGUGGUUUUCUUUACACCUGAAGCUGAAGCCGAGUUGGAUCAGGACUUCAAAGAUAUGAGGCUAGAGCAGCGGGAGGCUCGCAAGCAAUUAAGAAGGCAGAUAUAUGGUUGGUCAGACAAACGGAAGCAGAUUGAAGAACAACAGAAAGAAGAUCUGGACAAACAGAAGCAGAUUGAAGAACAACAGGAAGAUCUGAACCCUAACAGUUGGGGAGGAAAUUCACAUGAUAUUUUCAACAGUCGGGGAUCUAGUUAUUAUUAAUCUGGGUUGCUGUUCACAUUUUUUGUUAGCUACUUUUGUUAUGUUAUAUUGUUAGACUCAAUUGGUUGCUGGCCUAAAGGCCAAAAAACUUUUGUAUGCUUUAGUCGGAUAACAGAAGAAAUUUCUCUGCAAUUUAUUUGGUUAUAUACACAACUUGGCAUCAAAUAAACAUUUCAUUUUCCUGUCUACAAUGGCCUGUAAUCUGGUCGAGAGCUGUCAUCUAGUUGAAGGUUAUGAACAUGAUUAAGGUUUUAACAGGCAGUCAAAGCUCUAGAUUGGAGGGCUUGAAGGAGGGGGACAAUUUGUGUGUGAAAUUGGGAAAGUCCCUGUGACCAUGUCAAAUUUCUUUCCAUUUCCUACAGCAAACAAGAGGAAGGAUGUUUGCAGUCAACUACUCUUAUGUUAUACUAUCAAAUUCUGUUAGGUGAUGAUGAUGGAAGUAUAAUUGAACAUGCUUCUCAUUCUCUUCAAUGUAUUAGUUCUGUUUUUUCCUUCGUAUUUCCUUUUAGCUUGCGACCCAAAAAGGUCAGCUUCCUCUCCUUGAACAGGUCUCCUAUAUUCUAUAUAGAGAAAUCAUUACACUACUAAUGUACUGGGUAACCUUUCCUUUUAAAGGUUUAAACUGAGCUAGACUUUAUAGUACUUUACUUGUUAUUUUAAAAAAUUAUUUUUAAUAUUAAAACAAACAAUAAAACGAUCUAAAAUCAUAAAAAAAUUAAUUUAAAAUAAAAAAUAAAAAAUAAAAAAAUAAAAAUUUUAAUAAAAAAAUAAAAAAUAAAAAAUAAAAAUUUUAAAAUGUAAAAAUAAACUAGACUUUUCAAGUUUACUAAAACUCAUUGAUUUUUAAAGUUUUUUAGAGUCUAUUUAGUAUUGUAGUAGUAACUGUUUUUCAAAGUGUUUUUUUUUAUUUAGAAUUGUAUUGAAAUAAUUUUUUAAAUAUUUUUUAAAUUUAUUUUUGAUAUCAAAAUAUUAAAACGAUUUGGAAACAUAAAAUAAUUAAUUUGAAACAAAUAAAAAAAUAAAAAAAUAAUUUUUUUUUUUUAAAAAACGGUUUUAAAAUACAAAAACAAACAAACUCUGAUUUUCUUUUUAUAUCUUCAUUGUACUAAUGUCGAUCCCUUACUUUUAAAAUCGUUAUUUUAGUCCUUAUUUAUAUAAAAUUCAGGUUAUUCUUAAAUCAAAUUACAUCCUAUUAUAUCACAACACAUAUCCGAUAUGUUACAGUGAAAUGUUAUCUUAUAUGAUAUAGUGAAAUGCAAUUUGAUGCUUUAAGAAUAACCCGAGCUUCUGAUAAUCUAAACAAAAAAUAUCUUGAAAGCAGAGGGUUGAUAGUAGUACAAAUAAAAAUAGAUGGGAUAAAUUAGUAUAAAAUUAAAAGUAAAAGGACUAAUAUAAACUCUUAACACAUAACUUAGUCAGCAAGAAUAAGAUAACAGAUGCUAUCAAAGAAUAAAAGUAACUGACCGUUAGGCACGCGGUUGCAGCCCAUCUUAACAUCACUGUCACGGUCCAAAAUGACAAUCCAAUGAGAAAAAGAACAUGACCAGGUCAAACGGCGCAAAUAGUACAUCUGUGAUUUAUCAAAUCUAACCGCACUGUCACCCAAGUCAUCAAAUCGACAUCUGUACACCUUAAACAAAAGCCAUGAUAAUAUCCGACGUCCACGCUUCCUUGUAAGAACAGAGAAUCUUACUUCACAAUCUUCUUCUCCCUCCUAUAAAUAUUCCCUCACCUCACGAAUUCUCAGCAGCAAGAAAACAGAACUCAAAAUGGGGAAGCAGAAGUGGUCAGUUCUAGGCCCUUUGAAGAGGACUGUCAAGAAAAUAAAAUUUCUACUUCACUUCAGAAAAUGGAGAUUGGCUUCAUCAAUUCUUUGGAAUGCUUCUUCUUCUUCUUCUUCCUCUGGAACGAUACGAAGGUUGAGCUUUAAUGAUCGAAGUGGCUUACGUGGGGUAAUUGAAGAUGUUGAAUCGGAACAUCAAGGCAAGCCGGAUCGAGCUCUUGAAAGGGCAAGAAGUCAUGGGUCAUCAUCAGAUGACGAUGUUGACAAGAGGGCUGAGAUUUUUAUUACUAAUUUUCGACGGCAGCUGUUGAUGGAAAGGCAGGUUUCUUUGCAGCUGAGGUACUACAGAGGGAAUAGUUUUGGAAGGGAUUAUUGAAUAUAAUAGAAUAGAAUAGAAUGUGAUCACUGAAUGUCAAUAAAUUAAUAAAAAAAAAAUUGUUGUGAAAAUAAGGUUGUUUCUAGCUUCCAGUUGUUGGGAAAACUUGAAUUGAAAUUUUUUUCAAUGAUAUAAAAUUCAAGUGUUUGUAUUGUUUGUUUGUUUGUUUUAUCAUUACACUUUAUAUUGCAUGUUGAAGUAAAAUAUUGUAGUUUUAUUCAGGGAAAUAUUAACCAGAUUUACAGUCCAUGACAAGCCUCAAAUGCCGCCCCCCCGUGCUUUCACCUUGUUCCUUCUCUCCCCAAGCAGAAAUGAAACAUUAUCUGGAUUAUAACUUAUUCAGACUGAGCUACCUAAAAUUAGAGAGAAACAAAUAUCUGAAGAAAUUUCUGGUGAGACUACAAGAAAAGGAAAAUAACUGGCAACUACAUUCAUCAUACGAUGAGUCUCGUAAACUAUUCUAGCCUAGAGAAAUUCAUGAAUAUCAUCUUAAAAAAUAAUACAAAUUAUAUCUUGAAAUUUCAUUUAAUAGCUUAAGUUAUUGGUUGAGAUUGUUUUUUGAUAUAAUAUCAGAGCCUCACGAGUUUGAAUCUCACCAUUCCCAUUUAUUUAAUAAAAAUUAACCACAAGACAAGGUAUGUUUAUGCAAGUUUCAAGUUCACAGGAUUUUCAUUUAAAAAAAUAUAUUAGAGAAUAAUAUAAAUUAUAUUUUGAAAUCUUAUUUAACAACUUAAAUUAUUGAUUGAGAUGAUUCUUUGACACACCAUAACUAUCAUACAAUGAGUUGCGUGAGCCUUUAUGGCCCAGGUGACGUUUCUGCACAUCCAUAGACAUCAACAUGCUGCAUUAUUCUGAGGUUCAUCAAUACAGAACUGUCAGUAUUUGUCUUCAAUUGAUCUAAUAGACUUCUCGGAAUAGACAAUGGAGUGCAUAUAAAUGAAGGAAUUAUGCUAUCGUCUCCACGAGAAGUUUCAGCUGGGAAUGUUCAUCCCUUUUCCUUGUCCCUGGCUAAGAUGACACUGAUUAAAGAAAAAAACAAUAAUAACAUAUCAUUUGGGAUUUUUGUUAACAACACAUCAACAUGUCACGAGAUUCUAUGUAUAAUUUAGCAACACACAUUAAGGUUCUUGCACUUUGAUGUUGUUGAGAUUCAGACAGAAGGAACAGAGAAGAAUCAGCAACAGCAUUCAUCACAAAAUGAGCUGCCAAACUAAUUCUAGCCUGGGUAGCAUUCCCAAUACCAUGAACUUCAUCAGGUUGCUUGGUAGUGAAACUCAUCAAUUGUAGAGUAUAUCAGACCUUCAUCUUCAAGUGAUCUAAUAGAUUCCCUGGCGGACACAAAAAAAACGUCAAGAAAAGGAAUUGCUUUACUUGAUACUGUAGGGUGAGGAAGAGGAGAAAUAGAGAGAUUACUUGAUCUUCUACAUGGUAAGUUUCAGCUGUUGGCAAAGUUCAUCCAUCUGCAUCCCCUUUUCCUGUCCACUGCGGUAAAGAACCAGUUCUCAAAAUUCAUAAAGAUGGCACCAACAAAAUGGUCAAGAAUGGCUAGACAAGAUGAAAAGAAAAUCACUCGACUAUUAAUUAAACUCAAGUUCGAUAAAGGUAGCAGAUUAAAAUGUAACAGCGGACAGAGUAGUGUUUGCAAAACAUGGAUAGGUAUUCCAAGCAACCCAGCAAAACUUAAUAGUCUACAGUUGGGGUAACAGAGAGCGAAAACCGUACACAACUUGCUAUGUUAAAUCAAAAACAAAUUGUCGAAGUUCAGUGAGAUGGCAUUGAUUGAGCAGUCAGGACAACCGGACAAGCGUAUGCAAAAAACGAAAAAAUUAAUGGACUGCUCAGGAAGCAUUAAGGCUGUAAAUAAACGAAAGUUCAAUAUUAGCAACAAAUUAGACAGAAAGAAUUGCAAUUCUCCACGGCAUGGGGCAGAAUGCUGUUUUGAAGAAAAAGAACUCGUACGGAUCAAGGAACACUUCCAGAUUAGCAGUCUAUAACUGGGGAAGAAAAAAGAGAGAAAACUAUAUGGAACUUGCUAAAUUAAACUCAGUCACAAAGUACUAGGGUAGCAGUUCUACUCAAUGCUGCUUCCUAAGAAAAGUUAAGGCAACAAUAGACAACAUGAAAUUUCGAGGAGAAAGAAGCUGCAUGGAGUAAAGAUUUUAGUUGUUCAACUCACGUGCUUGAGGACUGUUGCAGACAGUCAAGGACCACUUGAUCAAAAUCCUUAGGCCCGUCAACAUUAAAUUGGUUUACAUGUGGGGAAAAGAAACUAUAAUGUUAUGACAAACGCAUAUAGCAAUAAGGACUUUGAAUAAAAAUUUACUUGAAGCAGUCCCAUACGAGGUUUGACGUGGAUGUCUGAUAUCCAUUUGAUCCACUCCACAGAGGAGUGUUCAUUGAUGAUUCUACCAUCUGAGGCUGAGUUGAAGUGCCGCCGUGCCGCUCCAGUUGAAACAGAGUCGCAGAGUCAGCCAACAGCAAACACAAAAUAUGCGUGCAAAUCAUGUCAGAAACCUCAAUUAUAGUGCAUACUUCAUCUGCUCUAAGAUCAAUACCUGCAAUUUUAAUGCAUUUCUAAGAUAAAAAAAAAUACUUUAAACUGCAUCUCUCAACAAAUCUACUUACGUUUCACUCUAAUUUAUUGGCUAAAAUUAGCCUCUAAUAUUUCAUAUCUCCUAAUUUCAUCUCAGACAAAAUAUGUUAUGAUUUUAACCCUUGAUAUUUCAAACACUUCUCGAAUUGGAUCCCCGUAUCAAUGUCCAUUAAUUUGUCUCAUUUAAUUUUCAUAUUAAAGAAAGGCAAUGUUAGAAGGGCAUAUACUUGACAAAAAACUUAAUAAACAUGGAUAGAUGAUAGUUUCGUUUAAUUAAUUAGUAUCACAUUAUUGAUGAAAUAUUUUUGUUUUGGAAUGAAAAUAACAUACUAGGGACCAAUUUGAGGUUUCCGAAAAAUCUAUCUCAAAAUCUACCUUCUCUUUCAACUCAAAAUCCCAUCUCCUGCUCUCCAAUCUCACUCUAAGUAAGCAACUCCCGAUCAUCUCCGCUUCGUGCUGCUGCUUCUUCUUCCACUGUCGUCGACACCACCACUAACGCCCCCGUAUCAUCGACAAACAGCAACGUAAACAGCUAACAAAGCAGCAAAUCAAGCAGCAGCAGCAUGAGAAGCGCCAUGGACAACUUGACAUUGAACGCGGCGUGAAUGUUUUGAUAGGUUGCUUUCAAUGUUAUAGAAGAGGAGUUGAGGCAAUCACUUGAAGCUGUAUUCAGUAAAAUCUGGUCUCAGACAAUAGCAGCUGCGAGUUUGGGAUAAGUUUACCGAGCUACCUUGAGGGCAGCUGGGGAGGAUGCUGCGAUUAAGGUUGUGUGUGUGUGGUUCAUCUACUAGCACAUUUCACUUGUGUAUUUAUUUCAAACAAUGAUAUAAAGUCGUUUAUUUUCAGGUGCAAAGACCUGAAAUAGAGCCUAUAAUUAUCUAUCGGGAUCUCUUUCUCUUCAGAACUCUUGUCUCAUUUAAAUGGAAUCAGUUUACAGAAAUUGGGAUGCUUCUGAGUUGAUGGUAGAUGGAUUUGGUGAGAAGCUUCUGGAGGAGCUUGAUUGCACCUUGCUUCUUAUCUUUCAAAACACUCUUCUGUUUUGCACAACAGUCUUGUUGCAUGCUCUUAGAGAUAGACAAGAAGGUAUCUUGGUCUAUGUCGUCUGCCGGCCUGUCAGCUGAGUGAUAUCCAUGUCCAUGCCAACCAAAUCGAUAGAAUUUGCCCCAGAAAUACUUGUUUCUGACAGAUUACGUUUUAUAUGUGUACUGAUUUUUUUAACAGUGAAAGAAAUAAUGUACAGAGACAUAUAUGUUUGAGAAAUAAUUUUGUAAUAAAUUUUUUUUUUUUCAAAAUAGAAAGAACAUGGGAUAUGUCUUCUUUAUCUCAGUUAUCUUCAUCUUUUUUAUCUCAAGAUAUAUUCUAUUGAAUUGGCUGGGAAGGGGAUGCUUCACAAAGCAUAUUUAUACAGAUUAGUCUAGUAGAUAGAGUGCAAAAUUGUAAUAUGGUUAAUUUGAUCUGCACAGUGUGCCUUCAUUUUGUUACCUUGACUGAUAAUUUGUGCUCAAUAUUUCAGCGAAUUAAGCAGAUAUUGAUCGAUGCUGUUGUACAUGCUGUGAACGAGGACUGUUCUGAGAUGGCAAAUGACUUCACCGGACUUGGAUUCCUAGCUAGUGGCACUGAUGUUGCUCCUAUCAUUCCAUCUUUGGAAGAUACUUGGCAGAAUUCAUUUGGGAACUAACUUUCUGGUUUUAAUUUCAGAACUGUUACAGGUAAAUUGUAUGCUCCACAAUCCAUGUUCCAUGUUUUUCUCUAGUUCAAUUUCUUGAAUAUUUAAGCACAUUGCUUAAUCUAAAACUUAUUCGUUUGGGUUUCAUUUGCAUGGUUUAAUUUGCAAUGCCAACCUUGCUGUCAGCAAGGUCAGGGUCACUUAGUUGACAGCAUUGUCAUUGUGGGUUUGUGGGGCAGAUGCAGGGGAAACAAUUUAUAUAGUGGGUUUGAUUUUAUUUGUCAAUUCCUAGGUUCACUGGUGUGUUGCAAAUGAUUGUCUCAUUGUAUUCUUGAAUAUUUGGCUAUGUCCAAGUUGCAUCAACUAUAUAGUUUCUCAGAAUACAAUCCCUCGUGAAGGAUCUGCUUCUCUGUGUUAGAAUCCGUUUAACGAUGGUGUUUUCCGGUGGUAACCGCUCGAAAACCUCAUUGUUCUUGCAUAUAGUGGGUUUGAUUUUAUUUGUUAAUUCCUAGGUUCACUGGUGUGUUGCGGAAGAUUUUCUCAUUGUGUUCUUGAAUAUUUGGCCAUGUCCAAGUUGCAUCAACUAUAUAAUUUCUCAGAAUACAAUUCCUCGUCAAGGAUCUGCUUUACUGUGUCAGGUUCCGUUUAACGAUGGUGUUUUCCGGUGGUAACCACUCGAAAAUCUCAUUGUUCUUGCAUAGGAAAAUAUAGCCGAGAUGAGCAGCAACCCUGCCUUGCAAGUAAAAGAAAUGUCUGUAUCUUUAUAAUUUAUGUGUGAGAAGAACUCAAACAUUUCUUCAAUUUUCGAAAGCAGUAAUACAUGGAAAAUAAUUUAUGUUAGUUCUUUCUUCCUUUGAUUUGCUAGGGGAAAAAAAUAAGAACUCAAUGAGGUUUUUGUAUUGAAUUUGGAUUUUAUUUUUUUCAGUAAAUAGAACUUGGAUAUUCAAUAAGGAUAUAUAUCAUAAAAUGUUUAUGGUACCUAUUUUAUUAGAAAGAUUAAAAUUAUUAAGAAUUAAAAUAAUAAAAGAUUAAAAAUAUUUAAAAAUACAAAAUGAAUCCUGUAGUUUUGAUAUUAUGUUCAUGAUUAUUUUUAAAAAUAAUUUUUUAUUUUUAAAAAUUUAUUUUUAAUAUCAACACAUCAAAAUAAUUUAAAAAUAUAUAAAAAUUAAUUUUUUAAAAAAAGAUAAUACUACAAAAAUAAAAUUGUUUUAUCUUAUUAGGUAUAACAUUUUAAAAGAAAUCACAAUUUUUUUAUACCAGUUUUAUUUUUAAGUUUUCAGGUAAGAAGUUUUGUUUAUUUUUAAUAAAUUAUGUAUUUUUUUAAAAACAAUUAUAUAAAAAAUUUAAUAUUUUUUAUUAAAUAAUCCUAACAUAAAUUAUAAUUUAAAAAUUAAAAUAGUUUGAAAAUAAAAUUAAUUUAAAUGUAAAAUUAUUUCCUUCUUAACAGUGUGGGGCCUGCUUGCUUCACCACUGCGAUUUAACACUAGUGACAGUCCAGUGACCCUAAAAACUCUCCCACUUCAAUUCCCUUCAUCCCAAAAUCUUAGGUGACCUCAUUACUUUUCUUCUUUAGAUCGAAAUCAAAGCUCGCUUGGAAUACUGAGUUAAAAUUACUAUCCUUACCAUUAAAACCACUUCAAGGUAAUUUUAAUUAAAUUUCUUAAAAUGCCUCGUAAGGUGAAUUACGGAGUAGAUUGUGAUGAUGGAGAUUAUGAUGAUUACGACGAUGAUUAUGAUGCAGAAGAUGAUGGUUAGUAGAAAUAAUUACUUCUUAUAUACAUAUAAUGCUACAAAUUUGCUUUAUUUGAUGUGGUAAUUACUUAUUAAUUGCGUACCAGUGGAAGCAGCAGAGCCUAAGCACGAAACGGCCAAGUACAAUGAUAAGGUUAGACUAUGGCGUUGCGCAAUUUGCAAUUAUGAUAAUGAUGAGAGCAUGACUGCUUGUGAUAUUUGCGAGGUUAUUCGGAAUCCUGUCCCUGGCAGUAUCAAGAGAGCUGGAGGAGGAGGUAUGGAGAAGUUUCUGUUUUCAAUUUGAACAACUUAGCAACUGUAUGUAUGCUUGAUCGUUUUUCUUCUUUGUAGUUAGGAAAAUAUUUUGUUAUUUUCAUAUUAUGUUUUGCUUCUUCAACAACUUGGUUGUGAAUUAUGUAGUGUUAUUUUUUUAGCUCAUUGUGUUUUGUCUUCGUUUACUUCCUCGAUGAUGUAAGCCACUAACAAAGGAGGCAUCAUUUUGGUGGUGGCGCUGCUUUGGUUUGAUAUGACAAUGCAGACAGCUUGUAUCUUUGUUGUUGUUAUUGAGGUUUCAUUUCAAGUUGGUUCUCCUUUUAUAGAAUAGAUUUCUAUGAUGCAGCGGGUAGUAUGUGCAAAGAGUCUGGAGCAUCCAUGAUGAACAAGUCUCUUUUCUGUAUCAUUGCCACAUUGGACUCCACAGAUGGCUGUAGUAGGUCAACAGUGGAAUGAUGAUUUUGUGACAGAAGAGGGCAAUAACUUCCACAAGUGUGGAAGUUUCCAAGGAAACUCUGAUGAUAUUAGUUCCUGUAUUGAUGUAGGUCUGAGCAUGUUCUAGAACAGGAUGAAUUGAUGAAAAACAGUAGAUAUUAAAGACCCGUUUUCUUUAACUUGAAAAUCCUUUGGAUGAAGCUGGUGUAUAUAUUCUCCAGCUGACGGCUGUUUUUUGGAGUCAUUUUGCAAUCUUGCUUCUCAAAACUGUCGUUAGAUCUGUGGCUUCUAUGUAUGUACUAACAUUCCAUAUAUUACUUAUACAGCUCCUUUUAAGUUUAAUAUUCCAUCUCCAGAUGAUUUGGUUUCUGAUGGAUUACAUCCCUCCCAAAUUGGUUCUAAAGGUAUCCUUUUAUAAUUUCAAAUUUGAGAGGUCACUUUGUGUACAGUGCCAAAAACUUAUUUACUUGAUUUUUAUGACAGUUAACCUUAGGAGGAUUGAGAAAAGUAUCAGCUUGUUUGUAUAGCGGCCAUUGAUUUGUACAAUGGUAUAAGCGUCUCCAAAUUCUCCCUUCCAGGAAUCUAGUUUGGAGUACAGCAGUUGAGUACUGGUAUCCAUUCGAAGUAUCCUACCCCGUAAGGCUGUGCUCCACAGGAAAUAACUUACACUAUUAUAGCUCAACUGUCUAUUUUAAUCCGCUCCUAUCAGGAUGAUAUAGUCUGCCAUAUAAACUUAAUCAAGUAGAGGUUGAGUCUGAAUAAAAAAAUAUUGUGCCGCAAGUUGCAAAAUUAAGGCUUUGAGUUUGUUAUAUAAUGGAACAAUGUCCUGCUACAACAUGAAAUGAUACAAUAUGCUACCUGCCUUUUAAUUGCUCACAGUGUACAACUUAGUGACAUUGUAUUCACUUGUGUUGGUUUGCAUCCACAAACAAGCUAUAUUUUUCUUACAUGCAUGUCUGUGUUAUAUAUUUAUACAAAUCAUAUUAUCCAUUGUUAGCUGAAACAACAACGUAGUUAAAAUAGCUUAAUUUCAAGAGUUCUCUCAGUUCGUUUUUGAAUAUAAUUUUGCUUCAUCUUGUUUCUGUACUGCCUUUUCUUGCAGCCGAACUUUUCAACUCCAGAUAUCCGAACGUAACUGCUGGCGUUACUGAGAUUGUUAAAAGUUCAGAUAAAUCAUCUGCAUUGAUGCCAAAAGGCAAACAAGGACAACAAAUUUCUGAUGGUUCUUCUGCUUCUAUUUCAAAAGGCAGGCCUGGAGUGGAUGAGGGCAAUCAAAAGAAGAAUGGUAUAGUUGGCACUCAAUCAAGUGAUGAAACUUCAGAUAGCACUUCAUCAACGCCAAAAGGCAAAGAUAAACGGGUUGAUUAUAGCAGUUCUUCAACAAACAGGGGCGAGUCUCUUGGUCUUACAGGUAAUUUGAAUGAAAUGUCCCUGUCUGAUAAAUCUGGAAAGUCGUACAAGGCUAGUGCUAAGAGGCACAAGUCAUCUGCACAGUAUCAACCAGAUAAAUGGAUGCUCCCCGGCAAAUCAGAAAAUGCAUUGACACAACUGAAUCUUGCAAUUGUAAGUGGGACCUUGGAUUUUAGUCAUAUACUCUAGGAAUUGGAUGCUAAUAUCUUCAAUAAGGAUAUGUUAAUAAUUGUUUUAUUGAUAAACUUCAUCUAUAAAUGAUUAUAGGUUGGCCAUGUUGAUUCUGGGAAAUCAACACUCUCAGGUAGAUUACUACAUCUUUUGGGACGAAUAACCCAAAAGGAAAUGCUCAAAUAUGAAAAGGAGGCCAAGUUACAGGUGAUGUCAAUAAGGUUUUGCUUGUUUGCAUGCAUUUGCUGUUUAAGAAAACAACAACAACAACAACAAUACUUGAUUUUGGUUUUUUUAUAAUUCAAACAGGGCAAGGGGUCAUUUGCUUAUGCUUGGGCAUUGGAUGAGAGUCCUGAGGAGAGGGAAAGGGGAAUAACUAUGACAGUCGCUGUUGCUUAUUUUGAUUCCAAAAAAUAUCACGUUGUUGUGAUUGAUUCCCCAGGCCAUAAAGACUUUGUCCCAAACAUGAUAUCUGGGUCAACACAAGCUGAUGCUGCCAUCCUUGUAAUAGAUGCCUCCGUUGGGGGUUUUGAAGCUGGGAUGGACAACAAGGGGCAAACUAGGGAACAUGCAAUUCUUAUUAGAAGUUUUGGUGUUGACCAGAUUAUAGUCGCAGUCAACAAAAUGGACUCAGUGGAGUACUCCAAGGAUCGAUUUGAUUUGAUUAGAACACAACUUGGAACAUUCCUUCGUUCUUGUGGAUUCAAGGAUUCCUUGGUGUCAUGGAUUCCAUUGAGCGCAGUGGAAAAUCAAAAUUUAGUUGCAGCUCCUUCUGAUAUUCGUUUGUCAUCAUGGUGAGUUCACUUUAUUUACAAGAAAUAUUUUCCAUUUCAGGAGCUAUAAAAGAGGUCUCAGUGGAAUCUUAUAAUUAUCUCUAGGGAGUUGAAAAUCAAGCAAAGUAACUGAAUUGCAGGUACCGUGGACCUUAUCUGUUGGAUGCAAUUGAUUCUCUUCAGCCACCAACAAGAGAUUUCUCAAAACCUCUUCUCAUGCCCAUAUGUGAUGUAGUGAUAUCAUCUUCACAAGGGCAGGUGUCAGCCUGUGGUAAAUUGGAGGCUGGUGCUCUUCGAAGUGGAUUGAAGGUACUGCAUUAAGGUUGCCACUUGCUAUUGUAAAACUAACUUUAGACUUUCUGGAAAACAAGUGAUAUGGCUCAUCAUUGAGAAAUCCAUUGGAUGGAUGAUUUGCAUUUUCUCAAAUGCAACCCAUCUUAUCAGUGCUUCUUAGCAUGAGCUGGUGAAUUUUCCUUGCAUGGAUCUUAGGCUUCAUUAAUGCACUAAUAAAUAUUCAUUUAUAGAAGCAAAAUGUCAUGGUGGUCUUCACUUGAAUGUUUCUGACCUCUCUCCAUUUCCCUGGAAGGACUUGAUUAAGGUUGAAGACAUUUGUAGAUAUGCUAGAAAUUUUCUCCUUGAGAGUUGAGAGUGGUCAUGCUUCUACUAAGAUAGAAUUCUUCGUUAGUGUGUGUACACGUGUGUUUGUAUAUGUUCAGCUUUGCAUAAUAAGGGAUGAAUUUCUUGAGACAUUCAUGUGCGAAUCAUAGGCUGCCUUCAGGUAAUUAAUGACCCAGAAUUUGACCAACUUUGCACAUUGACUGUUCUUACCCAUGUGUUUUUGAGUGCCGCUGUAACUUGCCAGUGAUUCUUUGUCUCUUCAACUGCUCCUGGACAAGAGUAGUGCACUGGUGUGAUAAUAGAGUUUUUGGGUUAUUGAAAGUAAAUUAUAAAGUGCAUAUAUUGAUUGUGCUUUAAAUUUAUACCGUUGGUUGAAUUUGUGCUGCUGAUAAUACCUAUCCGGUUGAGGUAAGGAAAUGUAUAUUUUGUUGCAGCCAAUAUCACUCUGUGCUCUUACUAUAACCAUGUAUGUAAUUCGUGGAAUGUAGGUUUUAGUUAUGCCAUCAGGAGAUGUGGGGACAGUUCGCUCCCUAGAAAGAGACUCUAAGCCUUGUGAUGUCGCCAGAGCAGGAGAUAACGUGACUGUCAGUCUCCUAGGCAUUGAUGGAAGUAAUGUGAUGACUGGAGGUGUUCUAUGUCAUCCAGACUUUCCUGUUGCAGUAGCGCGACAUUUUGAGCUGAAGGUGCUCGUGUUAGAUUUGGAAAUUCCACUUGUGAUUGGUUCUCAAGUAAGCUCCCCUCUACAAAUUUCAUUUUGUUCCAUAUUGUUCUCUAUUAGUUUGCAGUUGGAUUCUGAUCAUUCGAGUCGAAUUUGCAGUUGGAAUUCCACGGACACCACGCAAAGGAGGCUGCAAGAGUUGUUAAAAUAAUAUCAGUGCUUGAUCCAAAGACGGGCAAGGUGACAAAGAAGGCACCUCGCCGUCUUAUCUCAAAGCAGAGUGCAGUGAUUGAGGUGAAUUAAAACGAAUGAUCAUUUCUUCCAUCGACAUUUACACUGAAACAGCAGUGAACUCGAUCUCACAUUUCCUUGCCCUCUCUCUCACUUCAGGUGUUUUUGGACGGACCGGUUUGCAUGGAAGAGUUCACAAAUUGCAGAGCUCUUGGAAGAGUGUUUCUGAGAACAUCAGGGAAAACCAUUGCCCUCGGAAUCAUAACCCGGAUAAUAGAGGAUCAGGAAUAGUUAACAUGAGAGGUAGAUGCCUCAGCAUUUGAGAUGUAAACGGGUCCCAUCGCUACAAUUUGCCAAAUUUAUGUUGUUAACAACAGAGAGGAGGGGCAUAUCCUUUCUGAGUUUUGAUGGACCAUUUUGCAUGGGUUGCAUCAAUUUACACAUCAGUAAAAUCGGCAGCCCCCUAUGUUGUCAUGUAUUUUUUUUUAAUUCUUUACUAUGCGUCUUUCAUCCAUAGCUGUGACGUAGCCGAUCCGAGUUGAAGGGGAGAAAAAAAAAGCUGUUCCAGUUAAAAUUUAGAUUGAUCUGUUUAUUAGUGGUGAGCAAAACCGGUUCGGUUCGGUUUUUAUCAAAAAAAGUAACCAAACCGAAAUUAUAUAUAUUUUUUUUAAAAAAACCGAAACCGAACCGAAACCGGUUCGAACCGGCCGGUUUUGGUUUGGUUCGGUUUGGUUUUUUAAGGGGAAAAACCGGUUUGGUUCGGUUUUUUCCGGUUUGGCUCGGUUUUUGGGUUUUGGCUCAUUUUUUUCCGGUUUUGGCUCUGUUUUUCUGGUUUUGGCUCGGUUUUUUUCCGGUUAUUUUUCCGGUUCGAUUCGGUUCGGUUUUAUAAGCCUUAAACCGAUAUCGAACCGAACCGGUCGGUUUUUCAAAAUUUUAAUCGGUUUUUUUUUUCGGUUCGGUUUUUUCGGUUAUUUUUUUCUCGGUUUUCUUGGUUUCUUGGUUUAUUUGCUCACCCCUACUGUUUAUAUGUUCAUACUCGGAACUUUUAGUUGAUUUUUUUUUAUUAAAAUAAUAUUAUUUUAAUUUUUUUAUAUAAAAAAAAUAGAUUCAUCUUCCAUGCUUAUAAUUUAAGAUGUUGUCUUGGUUUUCUAGCGGGUUUUAUAAUUAUGCUAUCAUUAAUAUAGAUUAAAAUUAAUCACCUUCUCUGUUUAUUUAUUUAUUUAAAUUGUUAUUAAAUCUGGUCAAAGUUAUAAUUAUAAAUUGUAUGAGUUAAUAUAAGUUGACUGAGAUUAAUCUAAAAACUUUUAAUAAUUAAUUGUAAUCUUUUUAUUUUCUUCAAACAAAAACAAACAAGUUAUCAUUUAUUUUGUGAUUUUGCAAACAGAAUUAAAAGAAAAGAAAAAUGAUGUCAAAACGAUGUUUAAGUAGAUAAACAAUUCACUCUCAUUUCUUUCCCACAAUUACUUCUUUCUCAUUGCAAAGUAUUAAAUAAUAACUUGUCAUUAAGGAAAUCUCAUGACAAUUAAGAAUGUGUUUACGAAUGAUUUUGCUUCUAAGAUGAAAGAAUAAAAAAGAUGAUGCAUUACUUAUGCAAGAGUAAGGUCACUGCUUGGAAAAGGGUAAUUACGUAAAUGGAUUUUCUUGACCUUCUUAGCAAUUUCUUUUUAGUUUAAAAACAGAAAGACUGGAAAUAAAAAAUAAAAAAGGCAUGUACAUGAAUUGAAAAAAAAAUUAAAAAAAAGGGCUUUCCCCUUCAUUCACACGGAGAGGCAGACACAAGUGAAGAAAGAAGAGGAGAGAGGACCUAAGUACUUCGAAAACUGACUUCUCUAAUCUCUUUGGUCUUUCUCGCAUCUAGGUUUUUCAUUUCAGUCCCAAAGUUUCUGUCUUUAAGGUCUGUAUACUUCAAAUUUUCUUUUUCUUUUUGAUCACUUAUUUUCCUGUCUUUUUCUUUUUUUGGGUUUUAGUGGUUUUAAGUUUUGGUUGAGCAGCUGGGUUUUUUAUAUAUUUUAAAGGGGGGGGGGUGCAUGGUUCUGGAUUUUGUGGGGUUUUUUUUCCCUUUAUUAUUGAUGAUUUUGAUGAAUAUUAGUUGAAUGUUUUUUUGUUAUUAUUUUUCUGUUGACUCUUGAUUUUGAAUUGAUUAAUUUGCUUCUCUAUUUGUUAAUAUUCAUUUUUUGUUGAGCAAAAUUAGGGUGAAUGAUCUGAUUGAUUUUGGGGGUUUUGAUUGCUAGUUGAAUAGUAAGGAUUGUUUGAUUGAUUGAUCAGCUUUGAUGGUUAUUUAAGUUAGAUUCUAGUACAUGCUCUUGCUACUAAGUAUUAAUUGUUUGAUUCAAUGGAAUUUUCCUGAGAGUUUUGAGACAUUUACAGCGAAUGAAGAUUCCGAUCGUUUCUCAUGUGUGAUAGAUAGAUCAAUUUGUUGUAAUGAUAACAAUAGAGGUGUAUUCACCCGUGUGGUUUCUUGAAUAUUAGUUUCUUGUCUAAAGGGUAUACUGCAGGAUGGAAUUAAGUUGACUUGGUUCAAUUGGUACUUAUAAAAUAUUUAGAAAAUAUAAGGCUGAAGUGGGAAUCUGUUGCUGGAAAUGGAAGGGUAAGUGAUGGAGGUGUCAUUUGCCUAAUUUGCAUACAAUAAUAUUGUCAUCAAAGGAUCAAAGCAACUUGUGACUUUCAGGUUUUCCUUGAUAUGUCUCUGCUUAACUCCAUCGACUGUUUAUUCUUCAAUGUGCAGCUUUCUGCAUUUUCAUGCUGUACUAGAUUAGGGUUUUUCCAUCUGUUUUUUUUUCUGUUGGAGCUUAGCUAGCUCUAUACUUGGUAGUUGCUAUAUUCGCCUUUUUUCAGUUUGUUUGCUGUCUAUGUUUCUGAGUUUUCUUAAUGUCCUUGUAGAUUUUCGUUUGGAGGUGUUGAUCAUGGCCUUUAAGCCUUAUUUUCAAAGAGGUCACCGUGCCAAUUGUAUCAACAUCGAAGAUAUUCAGUUGAAUACAAAUUGGGAAGAUGUGAUUUGUCCAAUAUGCUUGGAUUUCCCCCACAAUUGUGUUCUCCUCCAAUGCUCAUCUUAUCAUAAAGGGUGCCGACCAUUUGUGUGUGAUACUGACCACUUGCAUUCAAAUUGUCUGGAUCGUUUUAAAAAUGCCAGUGGUAUGCCAUCCCUUUCAACAUCUGAUUCAACUCCUUUGACAAAUACUCAGCCAACAGUAGCGGAUAACAAUUGCAAACUAGCUUGUCCGUUGUGUAGAGGUGAAGUUACGGGGUGGGUUGUUGUUGAUAGGGCUCGUUUAGAUUUGGAUGAGAAAAAGCGAUGUUGUGCAGAAGAACAAUGUACAUUCACAGGAACAUAUUUUGAACUACAUGAACAUGCUCAAGUAGAACACCCACAUGCUCGCCCAUCAAAAAUUGACCCUGCUCGGCAGCUUGAUUGGGAAAAUUUUCAGCAGUCAUCUGAGAUAAUAGAUGUUUUGAGCACCAUACAUUCAGAAGUGCCACGUGGAGUUGUUCUAGGAGACUAUGUGAUUGAGUAUGGGGAUGAUGAUACUGGAGAUGAGUUUGAGGACUUCCCUAGGGUCAAGGGCAACUGGUGGACUUCUUGUAUCUUGUAUAAGGUUUUUGAUAACUUCAGAAACUCGAGAAAUAGAAGAAGGGCAAGAGUAGUUGAUACAAGGAGAGGAAGUCGCCGCUCAAGUUAUGAUACUUCGAAUUCUGAUGAGGGCUCUGUGGCAUCUGUCGACUUUGCAGAAUACAGAUUAGAUGAGACUGAUGAUGAGUUUGCAAGUUCAAGCGUCCCCGCUAGGGGUAGUUCUGGUCAUCGCAGGUCAAUAAAGCUACCUUUUCUCUUACAUUUUGGCACCUUUUUUAUGUUUGAUUGAACUUGGAGUAAAAGUUUUUUCUUUAUUAUUAUCUGCACUGUUUUCUUGGUGGGCAUUGGGCACCAAAAAUUUUCGCAUAAUUGUUACCAUACAGGGACUGGCAUACAAAUGCACAAGCAACAGAUAAGUGGAAAUUCUGGUUACCUUUGAUUUUUCAGGAUGUGCAUUUACUGAUCUGCAUGCACAUCUGACGGUCACCGAGUACAAAUAAUUUGAGAGCAGAAUAAAUGCACUCUUCAACCAUUUUUGAUACAUUAAUCCACCUUUUUUUAAUAUGAUAGAACUGGUUUUUGCUGUCAUGGGUAGUACUCUUCCUGUGUGCACCAGAAGAUUUUGAACAAGGUUAUGAUAGGUUUGAGGUGUAUCUGUGUUAGAUGCCAUGCAUGUAAAACUAGCUUAUAUAAAUUGGGCUGUUAGAAAUUGCAGGUUCUGUUAACUUUACAUCCUUCCCAUAAUUUAUGCUUGCUGUUCCUAUAUCUCACAGAUUUCGAAGACACCACUCCCGCUUCUUUGACAGUUAGGUAUGGACUUGCUCAUGGAUCAAGCUUUGACAAUGAAGUAGGUUUAUUUUGCUGUAGAAAGGUCCAGCUUUUCCAAUUUAAUAGUGCACAAUUAUAUUUAUAGUGUUAUAUCCCCGGUCUCAUCUCAUUGGUAUAUUUAGUAAUAUGCUUACUAGUUCCCUUGUAUUGUGGGUAGCAGUGGCCUUAGUGCAAGUGAAGCAAAGGAUCGAAAGCAAAAUGCUAGUGAUUCUGCAGAUAAUUUUGGUUUCAUCCGAAGCUCAUCUUGUUGUAUAUGUAAUUAGAUUUGCUCGAUGGACAUGAAUUUUUGUAUUUGCCAUUUCCAGGUAUGGUGACUCCAUUUUUUCUUUUUAAUUUGAGAUUGAUUAUUAAUUUGCUUUAAUAGGACUUUGGGUGUCUUAACUGUAUAUUAUUUUCUGAUAUUGCUACCUUACAAACGCUUUGAUCGUCUCAACUUCUGACCAACAGAAAUACGAAGCAUAUUUUCUGGCAGUUUAUCUUGGCUGUAUUUAUUAGAGAUCCAUUAGUUAUCUGUGCAUCUCAAAUGCAUUUAUGUUAUUAGUUAUAUGCAUGGAAUUGUGUGCUGGUUACAUGGAUAUUUUUAUUUUGUUGGUUUGAUGGUGAGUUUAUGUGUCAACUAAACUAAAAGCUCGUUUGACAUUGCUGUUUGUAUCAAAAAGCAUCAUUUUUUUUUAUAUGUUUUUCAUACAAAAAGCAGUUUGAAACGCCACUGAAACGGGCACACUACAGAUCAUCUACAAGCAAUCUUAACAGUGCUCUCUUCACAUCAGCUUUAGGGUACUCUUGGUACUGGAAUUAUCUCGGUUUCUGGCUUGGCUCAAUGUUCGAACUUAGAAAGUUAAAGGAUCAGACCUUCUUGACCACUGUCUGUCCUUUGGUUAAAUAAAUGUGUUCAUAUAUCAGAAUUUAACUCGAUUCAGAUGGAUUUGGAUAUUUAACCUUUUUCAAUGAGUAAUUGACGAUUCAACUAAUAGAUUAUUGUUAAACCUGAUCUAGUUAUAUACACCUGAAAUAUAUGUAUUAUUUUUAUAUUUUAUGUUAAAUAAUAAGUAAAUAAUGGAUAUCUAAAAUCCAAUACAUAUGACAAGAUAUCUAAAUUCCUUACCUAAUAUAAAUAUAAUAAAAUCUCAAUCCAUAAAUGAUCGUUGCCAUCCUUGCUUGGCAAGCUCUAAAACGAUGCUCAAUUCCUCCAGCUUUCAUGUCAAAUGCAGCUUAUAUUGUGAACUGGAGAACUAUCCACGUAGCUAACACUUAAACCAGUGGGUAGCAAUUCCCAACAUUUGCUACAACAACAAGAAGAUGUGGACAUGCCAUGAACUAAUACAGGACGUUCUUGGGCAAGUUCCAAAUAACGUUAUUCUUCAUGCUAAUCUUGGUGCGCAUGGUCUCAGCCGAUCGAUUCACUUGCUUCAUGACUUUCAUCCUCACCAUUUGCUCUCUUGACUGCACAGUUGCCAGCCCCAUGCUCCGGUACCUGAAAAUCGGAUCGAAAGUCAGACAAAAUACCACCGCUUCUCAAUUUAUUUGAUUCCUAGAAUUACUUGGGUAAAAGGGGAAGAGAGCAAUUUCAUUUCAUUCCAAACUGUCUCCUCUUAUUAUGUCAAUCAUAUUUUCUGAAAAACAUGGAUUGAGAGAAUACCUAGAGGCAAGUGCAGCAGUUAUGGCCAUAUCAUUUGCCGGUGAUGGACGUGGCUUCUGGCGGUAGUACCGCAAAUAUUCUCGAGAACCAAGAGUUUUGGAUGAUACUUUAUUAGCAGAUCUUGCGGUUAUAAUCAGCUCUGAAUCACCGCUACCAAGUGCUGCGAUGUUGGUAGUGUCGCCCAAAGCAACAAGUUGUUUACCAUCCUCAUCCACGUAGCUGCAACCAGGGAAACAAAAUCAAAGGGGCGAAUUGAACGGAUAAACAAUAUGGAACAUAAUUAAAGAUGGCGAAUUAAAAGAAAUAGCUAGAAGUCAAGUAUUGAAGGAGAUAACUCUCCUGUGAUUGAAGCAUCAUAAACGAAGAGAUUUCAUAAGAAAUUAGCUGGUAUUCCAUAAUGAGCAUUUUACAAACCUGCUACUAUAGUCAUAGAAGUCUUCUAAUUCAGCUUCCUCAUCCUCAUCGCCGUCACCGUAAUGUACUUUGCAGUGACUUUUAGCUUCCAUAUGCUUCCUAACAGCUUCCAAGCUGUUGAAAGAUUGACGCUUGUCAUUGCAGUACAUACACAUGAAAUCCCUCUUCACCUGGAGAGGAAAAAAGAACAUAAAAGUAAGUAAAUACAGACUUCAAGUAUACAAUAAUAUAAAAAUACAUUACACAAAUAGAGAACAUGGUACGUAAUCCAGUACCUUGAGGCCAAGAUAAGUAAGAAGACCCUUUGGAUCCUUCAAAUACUCGACAUCAGGAAUAAAGAACCCAUGCUGCUUAUGCAUGUGAGCCAUGCAGCUUUCUAUGUUAUCAUGCUCUCGAUCGCACAUGAAGCAACAGGAUGGAUCCAGCAACUCAUCAUCUUCUUCAUCCUCGACUAUAUCAACAAGAGAGGCCAUCUCAUUUACAUUCAAACCAGUCAAAGACUUAGUGGCCUCAGCAACCAGCUCUUCAUCUGAACCAACUUCUUCCCACUCAUCCUCACUCUCUUCACUUUCUCCGGCAUCUGCCUCCCAUUGCAGAGCACGCUUAUUCACCUCACGACGAGGAAGCUGUUUAAUCACAGUAUUCUCCUCCUCUUGGUUUGUUCCUUGAGAAGCUCGCAGUAUAUGGCUCCUUGAUUUAAGGUGCUGAUCAUGAGCUUUGGAACUUUGAUAUCCCUUGUUGCAUAGAACACAACUAUAAAGCAUAGGGAUUUCAUUCUUCUCUUUCUCUUUAGCAAUUGCAGACUGUCUAGCCACAAACAAUGCUUCAGUCACUCCCGGAACACCAGCAACCUGAAUUUUAACAACAGACCCAGAAACAUUAAAAAGUUAAGAACUUGUCGUGAAUUAUUGAGGCUAAACAACACAAUUUUGGCUCAUAUUGAUAUGCUGAUCACUUGCAGAACACCAACAACCUAAAUUUCAACAAAAUUCCAAAAAAUAGUAAAACGUUAAGACCCUGUAAUGAAUUUUUAAAACCAAACCAUAUCAUUAAUCCUCUUACUGAUAUAAUCAAAGAACAAUAGCUAAAAUCCGUAAUUUGAUAUCCAACUGCGCAAUAAAUGUUGAUUCUUUUGCCAAAGCAAUUUAUAGCGGCUUUCAUAUGUAUUGUUAUUCCUAAAACAAAGCCCACUUUCUACACUUCCAAAUUAGUUCUUAAUAUCAAAACUUGGCUAGUUUAAUCUCAAUUAACCCACAAAAUCAUGCCACUAUAGAGCUUAAAGUCAUCAUCAUUGUCAAUGGUAAUAAUGAACACAAAACCAAAUCAUUCACUCAAUUACAACUAACUGAAAAAACACAACACAGCAAUUGUCAUACAGAAAACCUCAAAUUCUCCAACUUUAAAAACAUUGUCUCCUAAAAAAAAAAACAGUGAUGCAAUACUCUCCAACUAGCCUCUUAACCAAGCAAAGAAAACAACAAAAAGAACACACCUUGCGUUUAAGAUUGUAACGGUGCCAUUCAGACUUGUAAUGGAGUUUUUGUUCAGCGUCAUCAUUGAAUUCUUUAUUACAAGCGUUACAAGUUAGUCCUGGCAUUUUCCUUCCUGUUUUCUACAAUAUAUCUGGUUCGAUUCUUUGUUUCGCUCUCGUUUUUUAUAAUAGAAAGUUUGAGUCAGCGAGGCGGUGGGGUUCUUGCAAGACACGAGUCGUUAAUUGCGUAAGCGCCUGCGUCUUUGGAAGGUUAUUGGAAUUUCAUAUGGGUCGGCGACCCAACCCGUUUAGUUGCAUGGUUUAUUGACCAUGUGCUUCCGACAUAUUUUUUUAUUAUUUAUUAUACUCUAUACUAUCGCAAGGUGAAUGUCUUGAUUUUACCUUUGGAGGCCAGACUUGGGUUUAGGGGUGGAAGGUUUUUUUAAUGGGAAUUAUUAAUAAUUGCAUUUAAGAAGAGUGUAAAUUGGUAUUCUUACAUUUUUGUCCACAACAUAAUUACUAAAUGACCAUUAGAAGAAGAAAAAAUAUUCUUCAAAAAAUAGAAAAUCUUAAAACUAAAAAGGAAUAGUUCAUGUAUACUAUGAAAAAAAAUUAUAAGUUCUCAUUAUAUAAACUAUGCAAAACCUUGUUCUUUUAAAUGAUAGACGCAUAGUUCAUUAAUAUUUACACAUAAAUAUACCUAUGGUGUUUUUAAAUUUUAAAAAUUAAUUCAAUAAUAAAAAAGUUAUUUUAUUUUUUUAAUUUUUCAAGUUCAAACUCGUCCAAAUCAAUGAUAAUAUUCCUUAUAUAAAAUCACAAAAAAAACAUUUUUUAAUUUUAUUUACUUGGCACAAUUAUUUAUUAAACUUAUAAAAUCACUACUUAAUAUAAAAGAAUACAAAAAAAGAAAAAAUAAAAAUUCAUUUUCUAAUCAAUCAUAUAAUUUUUAUUAUAUUUAUGUUUUUUAAAAAUACCAUUUAGAUUUCGUAAAAAAAAAAAAAAACCCUUAACCAAUCCACUUCUUACACUUGUAAUUCACCCCACCAACAACAUUCCCUCCCCCCUUCUCUCCCUUCCUCUCCUUUCUCUCUUUUACGAGAGGUCCAUCCCAAGUAGCAUCUCCCUCCCUCUCUCCCUGUCUCAGUUUUUUUUUUUUCAUUUCAAAUACCGAGUCACGAUGUCCGCCGUUUCCCGGCCCCGAACCGACUCACCGAGUUCAAAUCGGGCGGAAAAAUUGUUCGACCCAGGCGAGCCACCACUCCUCGUCCCACUCCAUACGACCGCCCAACCCCUCGCCUUUCCCCUAAUUCCACCCCUCAAAACCCUAAUUGGCUUUCUCGUCUCAUUUUUUCUCCUUCUCGCUUGCUCGCCAACGGUGCCGGUAAAGUUUUCUCCUCCGUCUUCGGCUCCGAAUCCUCCGAUUCCUCCUCCGGCGACGAAGACGACGACGAAGACAGCGAUGCCGUUUCCACUUCUGGUAUUGCAAAUUUGAUUCGAUUUUCAAUGAAUUAGGUUAAAAUUACUUUUUUAAAAUCAUGAAAAUACUGGCUCGUGCUCUUUUUUUAGAGGGUGAAAUGGAAGAUACCAUUGAAGAUGGCGAUGAAGGCAGUGCUUCUUCUCUAAGCGGUGAAAAGGUGGUUUUGAACCGCCGCCUUUUAUCUUGAAUGUGGGAAUUUGGAUACGUUUUAGAUUUUUAUUAUUUGAUUUACGAGUGCUUUUUUAUUUUAAUAUAAGUGCAUUUUUUGGGGGGCAAUUUGAGUGCUUAAUAAUGGUCCCGUUAGGUUUUUAUGGCGUGAUUGAUUAAGAUAUGUUGAUUGCUUGUGAUUGCCGUUUGAUUUUUUUUAUUCUUUUUUGGUGGGGAAAUUAGAAGAAUCGAACAACUGAAAUUGUUCAUUACUCAAAAAAAGAUCUCCCGGCUGUAGAGUGGAGAACUGGAACAAUGCGUUUAAUUGCACAGCUUCUAACGCAGGAAACGUUCACGAGGUAAUUGGGAAUUACUUGCUUUCUUUCUUUAGAAAUUUAUUUUGAAUGCAUAUUUACGUUGUUUUGUGAGUUCUCGUUAUCAGGAGGCGAAGCUAGGAUUUGAGGUAUCGGGAUGCCAGUAUAAAACACAGCAGGGUACAUUGGUAAAUAAAAUAAACAAAUGAUAGUUAUAGAACACUAAUGUUUUUUUAUCCAGGGGGAGGGGCAAUGUAUAUUUUCUGGGAAAGAAAACUUAAAUUCAAGGGUAAAUUUUAAAAAAAAAAAUUAUGACUAAAGUGAAUUUUGUCAAACUCUAGGGAGUCCCGUGGGCCCUCAGCUAUGCUGUAGUUCAGCCUUGGUUGCUUGUCAUUCAAUGCAUUGGAAACUUCGUAAUUGUGUACUUUUAUAUAAUCAUUACUACUUUUGUUGUGUUUGUGUUAAUUCCCUUUGGUUCUUAAACUAUACUGUUAAAACACAGCAGGGUACAUUAGUAAAUAAAAUAAACAAAUGAUAGUUAUAGAACACUAAUGUUUUUUUAUCCAGGGGGAGGGGCAAUGUAUAUUUUCUGGGAACGAAAACUUAAAUUCAAGGGUAGAUUUAAGAAAAAUAAAAUUUUAUGACUAAAGUGAAUUUUGUCAAACUCUAGGGAGUCCCGUGGGCCCUCAGCUAUGCUGUAGUUCUGCCUUGGUUGCUUGUCAUUCAAUGCAUUGGAAACUUCGUAAUUGUGUACUUUUAUAUAAUCAUUACUACUUUUGUUGUGUUUGUGUUAUUUCCCUUUGGUUCUUAAACUAUACUGUUAACUUCAAGCUUUUAACAUAACUAGUGAGCUACAUGGUUCGAGUUCUAAAUUCAAAUCUAAAAAUAUAUUGGUGAUAACCUUGAUGGCUUGACUUCAAAUUCUGAAUUAUUUGCUAUUCACUAUGACCAGGGAAGAAUGCGACAGACUAACACAUAUAAUUAAAUCAAGAGUUGUAGAUUCUCCCAUCAUUAGAGGCACAGAAGAUGGGAGACUGGGUGAGGUUCUGGACAAGACAGCUGGCAAUGGUAUUGUUAUUUUGGAUUUUCCAAUUUCAAAGAACUUAGAAAUUCACAUGCCAAGAGGUGUAUCUCGCUGAUUGUUUAGUGAUGAUCCAGAUGUUGACACACCUGAUCUCCGCAAUACGGCUGUUAAAGAGGCUAAAAAAUGGUUUGAGGGGAAGAAAUUGGGGGCAAAUUCAAAGCCAGUGGAGUGUGGAAUCUGCACUCUCAACACUGCUCCACAUGUUAGUAAUCCUGGUAUAAGGGAUUUGUGAAAAAUACAAUAUAUUUUUUGGCUUUAGAUUAUAAUGAUGUAGCUUGUAUAUAAUCCUAUCUCACUAUGGGUCAGGAUGUUGUUGGAUUGUUACAUAUCAGGGCAGGUCCUUUGUCUUUGUAAAAUUCAUUUUCUGUGAAAUGUGUCCAUUAUUGCUAGAUGAAAUGUAUAGGCUCCCAGAAUACUUUGAUUUGCUAUUAUCCAUUAACCAAUUAUUGUCAUAGUCAUCGAACUUCCUAUUAUGAACCAGGUGCAUUGAUUUUUUUUAAUCUUCUUGUUUGUAGAUUCUGAUUUCACCAGUCCAAGGAACUGAAAAAAACUGUGCAAAUACCUUGAUAUGCUUGUUUUAUUCUGCAACUGCUGUGAACUAAUUGGUGCACACCACCUUAUGACUAUCUAUUUUUAUUGAACAGGUUACUGAAGAAGAAGCAGGUUCACCAGUGGAUUUGGCCAAAUCUUACAUGCAAGAUCGCCCACUAUGGGCUUCUCCUUCCACAAACCAUAUCCAGUUGCAAUCCCCAUCAUCAAUGGGAAAAGAGCUUUUUAAGGAAGCAACAGCAUUUUCAGUUGGUAGCAAGUCACUGUCACCAUCAAAGGUGCUGUUUGGAAGUCUCUUUCUCUCUUCUCCAUUUACUUGGUAUAGUUAUAAGCCUUUUAUUGCUUUUGUUGUGGUGUGAGGGUCUUGGAGUUUGACAGUAAGAUCUGAUCUUUAUGAACUUUCAAAGCAUAUUUUCUUACCAGUUAGACUUAGAAAUGCAAUUUAGUGAUUCGGUCAUGGUUUUAUUAGACAAUCAUAUUCUUUCCUGGUGAUAAAAUAUACGCCCACUAGUAAUUAAGGUAGGGAUCAGGAAAGAAACGAGACUUUCUGGAGAAUCAAGUAAUUUUUACGGCUACAAGGUAAACCUGACGUUGACAAAUGCUAGUUCUGUUUCAAUUCAAACAGAUUGAAUUUUUUUUUUUUUUAAUUUAUUGGAAAGAAAUUGAGCAAGGAACUCUUAAGGAUUAUUAUUAUAUUUUAAUUUGUGGAUGUAGAAAGGACAAAACUAGGGACAAAACUGAAGGCCGUUACUCAGUUAUGACCCUAUUGAGGCUAUGAUGGGGCACUGGAGGGAAGGAUAUAAAGAUCCUACCCUCAUGCAUUCUAACUCCUUUACCUUCAGAACCAUGUUAUGGCCUCUGAGGGCAAUGAGGAAGAAAUAGGAAAAAAGUGUUGUUUUGUGCAAUGGUUGCUUAUUCUCAAGGUUAUUGCUCUGUGCAGCUUAAUUUAUUGUGAUAUGAUGUAACUUGAAAGCAGUUGAACUGGGAUUCCCCUGUCACUGGUUCGUGGAAUAUUCAGGAAGAACUACGUAAAGUGAGAUCCAGGGCAACUGAAGAGAUGCUAAGGACUCGACCGUCUUCCAAAAUUGAUUGGUCUGCAUUAGCUUCAGCUUAUAAAGGAGGUCCUAGUUUAUUGUGUACUGGAGAAGUUGGUGGUGCUAAAGAUAAAUUUUCCAACUUUACACAAUUAGUAGAUGUACCUUUGACGUGGGGCAGUGCAGCAACUAAUUCUGGCUUGACAGGUGUGUUUUAAACUUGUCGGAGGGAAACUAUUUUAACUGUAGCUGUGAUCAAUAGUGCUAUAACAUGUGGAUUUUUUGUGAAAUAAAACUUUCUUGGCUAAAGUCUUUUUAUCCAAGAAUGGGGGGGAAUGAAAACUCCUUUUCUGCAUUUUCAGAUUCUCAGAUGGCACAAGAUAAGUUGCAGAAUGAAGCUUUUCCACCUAAUGCAGCUACUUCUGUUCCUGCAAAAAGUCAGGUACUUUGGAAGUUGGAUGGGGAAUUCAGUAAAAAAAUCUACUUGAUCUUUUGUUAUAUCUAUUGAUUUUAUUGUGAGUUGCUUAUAGGAAUCACAAAAGUUGUUUUACAAUUCCCUAUAGCUAAAGCAAUAGGGUUAUGGAAUGGUUGCUUCUUCUUCUUCUUUCUCUACCUGUUUGAUAUCCUUCCUGUUUAAUUUAUAAGAAAAUAAAAUGAAAUAUCGAUUACUAAAACUAAACAAAUCUCAUCUCUGACAUUUUUAUGAAUAUGUUUUUGAAGGAUCUGGGAUCGACACCAACAUUGAGUGUAGGGCAGGUGCUUUUUCCAUAACAUAUGAGAGUUUUUUCCCCUCCUUUUGCUCUCUAGAAAUUACUCUUUCCUGACUAAGUGAAGCCAUUUAAUUUAGGCUUGCCUGGAUGGCUCUGAAGCGAUAUCAAGCCAUGGACAGCAACAACAGCUUUCAGAAGAAGUGAUAGUAAAACAAAGGUUAGCUUCCCCUUUUCCCAGAUUUUCUGUAUUUCUAUGGGCUAUGAAGAGGUCUAUUGUCAUUUCUCAUGAUUUCCACUUCUCUCUAUAUGUCACAGUGCUGAUGCCUCCAUUGCUGCUCCUGCUCCUGCUACUGCUCAUAGCCUUAGAGACAUCGAGGAGACUAGCCACCCUUCAAGCUUCACAGCAGAAACUGUUCGAGGCAAGAGUUUUAAAUCUGGUAGCGUACUAGUAGAACCUUUUUACUGACAAUAUGCAGCUUCAUACUUGACAAUGUACGGAGGAUUUUAGAGUGUGUUUGGCAGUGUGGUAGUGGUUGCUUUUCAAAUAGCUUUUCAUGCUGAAAUACAUGUCAAUGAUGUUUUUUCAUUUUUUUAAAAUUAUUUUUGACAUCAGCACAUCAAAACGAUCCAAAAAGUACAAACCGCAUUCAAUUUUAGCAAAAAAAAAAUAAUAAAUUCAAAAUUUGGCGAAACGCAAGUUGAAACGCACAACCAAACACUCUCUUAGUCUAUCCGUUCCUUGAUUGUCAGGUUAAAAGCUGCUUCUGUUUGAUUUGAUUGAUUCAGAAAUUGCACUGUACGUUUCUGAUUUUUGAGUGAUUAGGAUGUAUAAUAUGAGAGUUGUGCAUCAAUUCCGUUUUAUCUAUAUCCACAAAUCAGAAUUUAGAGUGUUCUGGAAGCUGAAUAAAUACUAGGAUUUCAGGGUAUACUGGAAGCUGAAUAAAUUUGGAAACAUGGUCUUACAUAAUGUCCUGUUCAAAAGCUCUUUCUUUUAAACUAUGGUCCUAACUUUCUAUGGUAGACUGUUGUCUGUCAAUAAGUAGUACCUUUUCUCUAGCUGAUCCUCUCUUGAUACAAUCCCAGAUUCAAUGUUACUUGAAGUAAAUUGUAUAGCGUCCAAGGAAGUUUCUGGAAGAGAUGAUGCAGUUGCUACCAAUGGCUGCCCUUCUUCAGCAUACAGGUGAAAAUCAUGGCGGGACUUCCUUUUCCACUGCUAAUUGCUUACUGUGAUUUUUUACUAAAUUCAUUUUCCUGUCUUUCAGUUUGCCUGCAGUACACUACGGAGAACAGGAGUCUAUGCUGUCUGGCAAAGAACACAGUUUAGUUGGUCCAGAUCAUGACAAGGUGACAAGAACUGCUCCUGGAGAGGAAACCUGCGAGCUUCUGAGUGAGGCUUCCAUGGAGGUGCCAAACGAUAAUGAAAUUGUUGGUUUUGCUAAUGACUCUGAAGACAGCUCCAGCAUGUACCAGGGAGGGUUAGUACAGGCUGUGGCUCGACCAAAUUCAAAACGCCGCUCGGUAUCCAGGACAACUGGUGCCAAGCAGCAAGGAAGAAAUGUUAGCGGCAGAGACAAAAGGAGAGGCAGAGGACGGGGUAAAUAAUGCUAAAUUAUGUCCUUGUACUCUAGUGUAAAAUUAGCUGUAAACUAGACUAGAAAGGGAGGAGGAUAGUGCCAUGACAGGGAAACAAUAAAGUUUAGCGAGGCUCAUAUAGCUCUCUUCGUUUAAUGCUAACUACGCUGGUUUCCCCCCUUCAAUCGGGUGUUCAGUAGCUGUUAAAUUUAGUUAUUGAUUUUCCAGUCCAGACAUUGAUUCAUGGUAUCAUGUCUGAAGAUUUGCAAGGUGUAGUCAGGAAUUGGUAUUUAUUUUGGUAGAAGAUUUGCAAGCUGUAGCAAAGUUGAUAUGUUUUGGCCUCUUUGGCUGUUCCUUCUCUAUCUUGGGUCAUCUUUGGCAUCAGUUGAAUUCACUUGAUUCGCAAGUUUCUUAACUAUUAAUCAAAGGUUUGAUGAAAUCAACGUGUACAUUUUCAAUUGUCGAAGAGUUUUUAACAAAUUCCGGAUUAAAAAUAACGAGUAUUUUAUGAUAUUUCUACCAUGUAAGAUUUUAUUGUAAUUAUGCUAUAAUUAGUGGUAUUUUAUUUUCAAUUUACUUUGAAAAAAUAGAUAUAUAAAAUAAAAUAAAAUAAAUUCCUUACCUUAUCAUAAGUUAUAAUCUAGGAUUUCUCUGGUAUUUGUAUCUGUUUCUUUUAGGAGUAUCUUCCUUCCUAAUCACUAACACUAACCCUAUGAUUGUCUAGGCAUCAAUUAUGAACUUUAGGAUCCUAUCUAUGAUAAAAAGAAAAAAGAAAAAUAAAAAGAAGAAGUGAAUACCAAUGCUUUAUGUGCAUGAUUGUAAACAAAAAAAAUGUACCUUAAAUAAACUCAAUUACCCAAAUAUAUUUAUUAAAUCUAGCAUGAAUUGAUCUAAAAACUUGAUGUAUAAAGAUCUAAUUAAACUAUAUUUGAAAUUAAACCAAUUAAAUAGUUCAUCUAAUAAAUUAUUUCAAUACUUAAUAGUGGAUCAACUCUUAUAUAUAUAUAUAUAUAUAUAAGUUAAAGGAGAGUAAUUCUCGCUCUCCUUAAAAAACUUAAAUUUUAAAAUAAAAACUAAUAAAAUUUAAGUUUUUACCCUCGAAAGUAUUUUUUUUUACCUUGACCUCCCCUAAAAGAAAUUUUCUCAGCUUUAGAGGAAAGAGAGAAAAAAGUUAUUCCAAUACGGUAACAAUCCCAACUUACAUAAACCUUCAACCCGACCGGUCUACCGCUGACUAGUACUAUCGACACUCUAUGCGAUCUCUUACAUAAACUCUCCUCCCUCUAAAAAGAAAAAAUCCUCAAAAUAUCAGAAAAGACACCACCAUGGAUCCCUAUCCUUCUUCUUCCUCCUCGAUAGCCCAAAAAACCUGGGAGCUCGAGAACAACAUUAAAGCUAUCGACACACCAACCCCAACAACAGCUACAGACACUUCUUUUUUAUCGGACGCGAUUUUUCACUACGAUGAUGCAGCACAAGCGAAGUUCCAGCAAGAAAAACCGUGGUCGAACGAUCCGAAUUAUUUUAGACGAGUGAGGAUCUCUGCUCUUGCUUUGUUAAAGAUGGUUGUCCAUGCUCGAUCAGGCGGGACAAUUGAAGUUAUGGGGCUAAUGCAAGGGAAAACUGAUGGGGAUUCUAUUAUUGUUAUGGAUGCUUUUGCUCUUCCCGUAGAAGGGACGGAGACGAGGGUUAAUGCUCAGGCUGAUGCUUAUGAGUAUAUGGUCGAUUAUUCUCAGACUAAUAAACAGGUUUGCUUGCUAGCCUAUUGCUUUUGAUUUUAUUCUUGGGUUUUCAAUUUAUAGAUCAUUGCUUCUUCUUUUUUGGGACGGGGUAUUUUGGAUUAUAAGGGUUUUGAAUUUUAAUUUUUUUUGGGUGAUUAGGGUUUUGGGGUUUGUAUUGUUGUGGUGGUUAUGUGUGCAGAGAGUGGUGCAUUGUUGGAAAUUUGUGAUUUGGCAGGAGGAGUGGAACCUUGAAUUUAUAAUUUGAGUUAGGAAAGUGAGUGUCUUGAACCCUGAUUUGGAGCUUAAUUGAAUUGAGGAUCAGUCUCAGAAUAUAAAAUUAUUACCUUUUGUGUUAUUAGAGGAUUUUUUAGGGUAUUGGCGUUUGUAUUGCUGUGGUUAUUUAGAGCAAAGAAUGGUUGCAUUGGUGAAAUUUUGUGAUUUUGAGGAAAAUAUAGAAACUAGGUUUUAGAAUGUUUGUGGAAUUGCUAAUUUGAUUUCAUGAAGUAGUCUAAAACCCUAAUUGGACCUUUAGUGAACUAAGUCUUGGUUUAAAAAUAGCUGCAUCCCUAACGUGGUUGUAAGAUAUGGGCAUGGUUUGAUUUAAUGAAGUUGUGUGUAUAUUUUACAUGAUUCUUUUGGCUGAUUAGGGUUUAGGGCUUUACUGGUUAUGUGUAGAGAAUGGCUGCUUUGUCAAAUUUUUAUAUGUUUGGAAAAGGAAAAUUCUAGAUUUAUACCUGUGAAGUGUGUGUGGAAUCCCUAAUGAAAAACCAUAACUUGAAGCUAAAUCCUGUGAAGGCUUGCUUCAAAAUAGUUGGUAGCCCAAAUUUAAUUGUUAGCCAAAUGCGUGUGUGCACACAUUGCGGCUUUAUGUCUGAAACCUUGAUAUCUGAUAGUUGAUGAGUUGAUUUUCAGGGAAAUUCAUGUGGUCUUAGUAGCUUGGCUUUUCUGUAUCUUUUAGAUUCAAGGGAACACUAAACAUGGAUAGAUUUUCUGUUAUGCUUUAGUCACCACUAGCUGAAUCUAAAAUGUUAAUCUUAUUACAUGUUAUUACUUGAAAGCGUAGGAAUUAAUUAUUGAACAGUGGUGCACAAGUUUCCACAUUUUGUAUUGGCAUUUAAAUGGACUCCUUUUAAUAGUUUUUAAAGUUGCAUAGAAGCAUUAUUUUUAAUCUGUCUUUUUUGUAAUCCAUUAAUUUCCAUUGCUUCCAAUCUACUUGGGCCUUUUUUUGACAAAAAAAGUGGUGUUUAUGCAGGCUGGACGUUUGGAGAAUGUUGUUGGGUGGUAUCACUCACAUCCUGGCUAUGGAUGCUGGCUUUCAGGUAUUGAUGUUUCAACCCAAAUGCUUAACCAGCAAUUUCAGGAGCCGUUUUUGGCAGUUGUUAUUGAUCCAACAAGGACUGUCUCAGCGGGGAAAGUUGAGAUUGGGGCAUUCAGGACAUAUCCAGAAGGAUACAAGCCUCCAGAUGAUCCUGUUUCUGAAUACCAAACUAUUCCUCUUAAUAAGAUUGAGGACUUUGGAGUUCAUUGCAAACAGGUUGUUAUAUUUGCCUUGACUGCUUGGCCUUAUGGUUUCAUAGUAUUCCAUUGUUGGCUAAUGCUACAUUGUUUUGCAGUAUUAUGCUUUGGAUAUAACUUAUUUCAAGUCUUCUCUUGAUUGCCACCUCUUGGAUCUUUUGUGGAACAAAUACUGGGUAAAUACACUUUCAUCUUCACCUCUCUUGGGCAAUGGAGACUAUGUUGCGGGGCAAAUUUCUGAUCUAGGUAAUUUCGAAGUUUUUGGUUUAUAUUUAUUUUGCACAAUUUUCUUCUACUUCUUGUCAUGACUAGAGAAAAGUAUAGCUGUAAAUAGUUGAAAGACCAGGCACUCAAAGUCCACGAGUAUCAGUAGCUUAUAUGUGAGAUGAAAAGACUGGAUAUUCUAACUGCCUAUCAAGAUGAAAUAAUCAUCCAUUUGCCAUGCAGCUGAGAAGCUGGAGCAUGCAGAGAAUCAAUUGUCACAUUCUCGAUUGGGACCAUUAAUGGCUCCUCAAAGAAAGAAAGAUGUGAGUAUACUUUUCAUUGAUAUCGUUAUAUCUAUGUUAAUUCAGAAGUAUGAUUGUUAACUCUGCUGAUGGAGGCUCUUUAAUCUAAUUGCACCAAAAAAAAUCACUGUCUUUAUGUGAAACAUAAAUUGUUUCCAAGUGACUAUUAUGCAUUAUAUUUGGUAUUUCUUUUUUUUAUAUGGCAUGCAAAACUAAACAGUGCUUUUCUGAUGGGACGUCUUUAAAGAUUAUUGACCCUUAUCUCAACAAGAGGAACAGUACAUAAGGCUUGCUCUGUGUGUGUGUUCUGCUGAAUGUUUUGUCUUUUGCAUAGAUAAUUAUUUGUGAGAAGUGACAUACUAUGUGCCCAAAAAUGUAUAUUUGAUGCAUUCAACCGAGAGGUCGCUUCAGUUUUCUUGCAUUGAUCAGUAGAAACUGAUGCAAACAGUGUUGGCAAAAAUAUCCAUUGAACUGUAAGACAGCCUCUAAACGUGUCACCAUCAUUGCAACAUGUAGAUGUUCUGUACCUGCAUUAAACUGUACGCAUGUGGGUAUACAACUAUGCACUGCAUUUACCUUAAGACGUGCUACCGCACAUUGCUUUGGUCAUGAAACUUUUUUAUUUUCUUUUCUGCUCAGCGAAAACGCUUAACCCUCAAUAAGAGGACAUUGGCCUGCAUAAGUUAUGUUUAAUGUUAACAUGUCAUGCAUGUGAAAAAAAACAAAUAAAAUUCCAUAUAUAGUAACAUUAUGGAAAUUUCCUUGGCCAAAGAUUCCAUCCACCUCUUUCUCUUGUUGGAAUUACUUGUUGGGGAAAAGGCAGGGCACAGAAGACUGACUUUGUUUUAUAUGAAUUACAACUUGAAGAUAAAUUAUUACUUAGAUUUGCCAUCUUCAAUUAUCAUCUUAGGAUCCAUGUCCUUCAUGGGUGCUAGCUGUGUCCCAUGCAUGCUUACAUUUUCUUCUUCUUAAUUCUACAUUUCUUUUGUUCUAUUCAGUUACUUUUGCAUCUUAAACAUCUGUUCUUUUUAUCAUUUAUGGUCCUGUCUCUCUCCGGUUUCGACUUUAUUUUGGAUUUUUAUAAUUUUCUUAAUUGCAGGAAGAAUCUCAACUUGCAAAAAUUACUCGUGAUAGUGCUAAGAUAACUGUGGAGCAGGUCCAUGGUCUCAUGUCACAGGUAACUGGCCGGUCCAAUUUUUAGAUGCCUGCCUAACUUUGAACAGUUUUAUUAUUUAGGCUAAUCUUAUUUUUCUUUCUUUCCUUUUUAUGCCUAGGUUAUCAAGGACAUCCUUUUCAACUCUGUUCGUCAAUCAAAUAGAUCUCGUGCAGAGACAUCCGGCCCUGAGCCAAUGGUUGAAACAUGAUUGAUGUUAAUUCUUUGAAGAAUGGUUGCUUGGGAUUACUAUCUCUUUUAAACAUUUAUUAAAUUGGGUUUGCAUUAACCAUUUGGAUUCCUGUUCUGGCUUGGUCCCUGCUAUGUAGCUCAAGAAAAAAAAAAUUAUCGCCCUUCAUUUAUUGGAUCACUAUCUUGUCUGCUGAGUCAGCUACAGCGGCAUAUGGCCAGUAGGGGAGAAAAGGAACACAAAAAGAUAACCAGUACUGCACAUCUGCUGUUCAUAGCAUAUGAGACUGUAUUAUACAGUGCUGCAACACUUACACCACCAGAAAAUGGGGAAAUUAAAUGUGGAAAAGGACAUCCAUCUGUCAUGGAUUUUCAAGAAGAGUUGAAGAAAUGGACGGUAGAAAAAGUGAAGGAAAAAGAUUUUAGUGAAUCAUAUGGAAGAAUAGUGACAGCAUCCGAAUCCAAUUAGUAGACUGAGAACAAAAAUGGAGAACCUUUUGUUUUGCUAUACAAGUGCUAUUCACAUGCAGAGCUCGCAAGCAAGCUCUUUGUUAAUUUUCUAAUUGUAUUCAUUUGGCCUUUGGAUGCUAUAGUGUAAGGAAGACCCUAUCUUUAUAGGGUCUGUCCACUCCACCAUCACCAUCACCAUCCACUAGAGAAGGAAAUGGCCGAUAGCAAAAAGCCAUACCAAAUCUUCCACUUUAAAUCCCUAGUGGAUCUUCCAUGGACACUAUUAGAAAUCAUACCUUCCAUGACUUCCCUCCCUCCCUCCCUCCUCUCUCACACACACGCACGCAGGGAGACAGACACAGCCCUUCGUUUUUUAGCUCAGAUUCUCGUAAGAUAGAUUCUCGUAAGAUAAUGAAAAGAGAUCUCUAAUUUCACGAGGACUGGUCCUCAGACAUGGAUUUUGGUUCUUGGGGGUGUUUAAUACAUGUGGAUAUGAAGCAUUAAUGCUCGUGACAAUGUCACAUGGAAGCAGCUCUACACCACAACUAGCUAGCCCCUCUCUUUGCAUGUCAUUUUGCUCGUCACUUCUCUGCUCGUGAUGGACGCAAUUUAAUUUGUAGCUUUGAAUCCAUGGAGGAAGGGAGAAAAACAUGUGAUGGCAUGCAUCUAUAGAGUCUUGUAGCUCUACCUGGCAUGCUCUGAGUGGUGGUUAAAAUUUAGAACAAGAUUUAUUAUGUAUUAAUCUUUUUUUUUUAAUCUAUUUAGUUUUUGUCUCAUGGACAUUCACGUGUCUUCUCCAAUCAAUUCUAUAGAGAAAAAGGCUUCUCAUUAACCUUUGAUUGUCAUGCUCGGUCCUUUCCCGUGAGCAAUCAAGGGAUCCUUUCACGGUUUCAGAAAUACUUUAACUAAUCAUUUAUAUCUUGAAGAUCAUCCAUGUUGAUUCAUAAUCUAUUGAAAGAAAUGGAAAAUCUCCACAGCUAAUUAAUACUCGUAAUAUCACACCCCUAGUUAAAUAGUUUAGUUGGAGGGUUUUUUUUUCUUACAUAUAUAUAAUAAAAUUGAAUACAAAACCUUUGAGAAAAAAAAAAGUUUAACCACAUUUGUUUAAACUGUGAGAACCAUGUUUUAACAGGUUAAUAUGAAGUUUUAAUCAGAUUACUUUUUUAUUUUUUAAUAAAUUUGAACCGAUUCAAGUUUUGAUCAACUAAAUCUUGAGUUGGCCUACCAUACCAAGUUUGAUAAUACUAGUUUAAACUUUUAUCAUAUAUACUUUGUUAGAGAAUAAUAUAAAUCAUAUUAGGAUCUUAUUUAAUAGUUUAAGCUAUUGGGUUGAGAUGGUUCUUUGACAUGGUAUUAGAACCUUGAUGAUUAAGCGGUUAUGAGUUUGAAUCUCACCAUCCCUAUUUAUUUGAUAAAAAUUAAGCACAAGAUAAUGUAAAUAUAUUCAAGUUUCAAGGUCAAAAGGUUUUUUCUUGAGAGGGUAUAUUAGAAAAUAAUAUAAAUCAUGUAUUAAGAUUUUAUCUAACAGCUUAAUCUAUUAAAUUGAAAUAGCUCUUUGACAUACCUAAUGAAGAUGUGUAUUAAAGCUAUCUUUAGAAAAUUAAAAAGUCACAUGUGAAUUAGUUUUAAUAAAAAGAGAGAAGUAUUGCAAGGUCGAAUAUGAGGAUAGUGGGACUUGUGUUGGAUAUCUGGUCCAGUAUCCGAUUCCUUUUUCUUGCCCUAAUCUUGAUGUCUUGUCUUAAUACAGAGGUACAUGCAUGGUCCCAACUUCCACCUACCUGCUACCAUGAAGAAAUAUGACAAUCAACAAAGGAUUAGGCAUUAGCUCAGAGCCAACCCUAAUUGUGUCUCCUCUUUAUAUUUUAUUUUAUUUUAUUUUAUUUUAUUGUGAAGGAGAUUUUAGUCCCUUCGAGUUAGGGUGGGGGGAGAUAGGUAUAUGUGCUCUAGCCACUUUCGAAAGUGGGUGUCUGCUAUCCCUUGCAUCAACUCCAUAUCCUGCUGGAGCUUGGAAUCUAAGUAGGGCCAUGCCCAAGAGGAGGAAAAAGUAGAUAAAUCACUCUAUUAUUCUGACUUUUCUUUGAAAAAAGCCACUCAGCACUGCGGUUGCAACUGCGUUUUAGCAACAAAAACAUCAAAAAAGAUGUUUCUGUUAUGGUGCAACCUGCGGUGUGCCUUGAAAUCCAGGGUAAGUCAAUGACUGCAUGCAAAAAGAGUCGACCUCUCUAGUCGAUCUUAGGAAAAUGAUAAAAACUACGUGAGCCAGCUCUCAAGAAUCUCUCUGAUGAGGUGUACAUAAUUGAAAGAAGAACAAUACGCAUCUUUCAUACUUUCCUCACCACCUCCAUUAAUCUCUGUCUGCUCACUUUAAGCUUCCAUAUCAACCCGUGUCCAUCUCUCAUUUGUUCAAAUGGUCAAAAGGCUCUUUUCAAAACCCUAAAAGUAGAAGGGUGGACCCUAACGGAGAACCAAAAUCAUGGACCAUAACCUUCUCCUGCGUACAUUAAUGAAAACAGUCCUCGCCAUUUAGGAUGGUUCUGAUUGCUGAUGAGGGAAUAUAACCCAUUUGUAAUGCUCUGUGAGCUUGCUGUUGUGUAUAAAAUGAUUCUCUCCUUCUCUUUCUUUCUUUCAACUUUGCCCACUACUUGCUUAUAAUUAUGUGUUUUUUUCUUCUUAAAAUAACAUGGGAAGUAUAUAAAAUCUUUUGCAAAUUAGCAUAUAUAUAAAUGGAGAAGAAUAAUUGGGAUUGAUUUAUCAUAUUUUUAUUAGCUAAUUAGCUACUCCCAACAGCUAAGUUUUUUAGGUUCCCAUGGGGAAUACUUUCAGAUGCUGCAUGGAUUUAUUAUAAAUCAUGAUUUAGGUCUUGUCAUCCUCCACUUGCAAGAAGCACAAUCUAUGAAAAUCUUGUUGGUGCCUUACUUUUUAAGAGGAUUAUUUUAUUCUUGCUUGAUCUAAUUAUUUUUAAUGUUUUUGUAUUUAAUAUAAAUUAAAAUUAAGUUUUAAAAAUUUAAAAAUAUAUUUUAAUAUAUUAAAAAAAAACAUCUUGGAAUUUUCAACCAGCAGUUCAACCUCUACCUAGAAUUUUAAAUUUUAUUAUUUAAAAAACAAUAAAAAAAUUGACAUGAGUAGGUAUCAAUUCUCCAACCGACCAUUUCUAGAGGGUCAAGCGAAAGAGACAUGUUAGUCAAAUCUACAGAGCUCCACUUUCAAAAGAUAAAAUAUGCUGCUAAUAUUCUUAAUAAUAACAAUUAAUUUGGUAAUAUUUGUCAAACUUCUUAAGCCAAAAUAAAACAAGGAAGUACCUCUUGUACGGCUCCUUUUGACUGUGCACUCAAUUAUCAAGUGGCAUUUCCGUGAUCGUGACUAGGCCUAACCCUAACCAUAACCCUAACCUAACCUAACAUAUAUAUAUAUAUAUAUAUAUAUAUAUAUGCCUUGCAAUGACCGCAACAAUCUAGCCUAAAAUCCAGAGUCAUCGAAGCUUGGAAGGGCUUGUAAAGUUGAAGAUAAUUGAGAACAACAUGUGGUGAUUGAUUGAUUGAUUGAUACCUGCGCUUACGAGGCAUGCAUCGGAUACUCUUAUUUUAUAGAUUAAUAUUCAUCCAAAAAAGCUAGAUAAGUUCUUAUACUAUAAGACAAAGGAUAAAAUUCUAAAUUUGUUCCAAAAAAAUAAAAAUAAUUAGCUUGAUUACUAUUAAAUUUUAAAGUUAUUGAAAUUUACAUUUAUUUUAGAAUACAUAAAAUUAAUUAAGGUAUGCAUUUAAUAAAAAAAAUAUUAGUGAGAGAUGAAUGUUGCAAUAACUACAUAAUUUAAUUCUCAUAAUCUUCAGCUAAUCAUCAUUAAUAUUAACCACUCGUGAAUUGAUGAUUAUCUUUUUUAAUUUUUUUUUAUAUAUAUUUGAGUAAAACCACAAGAAGUAAACUCGCUCAAAAACUCACGAGAAAUUGAAGUUCGAGAGACCAGACAAAACACGGAGAAGAAAGAAGGGCGGGGGGCAUGCAUUUUCAAAGUUAAAAGUCGAAUCCCUGUCACGUGUGAAAUGGAAUCAAAUGGCAUGAAUUUUCAAAGUUAAAUUUAUUUUCCAUAAAUUUACAGUGAGGUAUAAGCCAAAGUGGCCCCCACCAUUUUUUUGAAGCACAAUUUCAAUUUGGAUCCGUAUUCAAGGCCGUCCGUUAGGCCAUUCUCUGGCAUCCUGAUCUAGACAUUCAGGGAUCUGAUCGGAAAGAUGAGUCAGCUCUUUGGGAAUCACUUGGUUUCCCAUUUCCGGGUUCGGGUCCCACCCACCCACGUGGUGCUUUCCAUUGAAAUCUCUCGGGUCGUUUGAAAAACUUGUUUGAAUUAUUAUUUUUUAAAAUUUUAAAUAUUUUUAAAUUGUUUUAAUAUAAUAAUAUUAAAACAAUCAAAAAUUUAUUUUUUUAAAAAAAUAUUUUUAAAUAAAAAAUAACAUGCCUAAAUAUAAGAUUAGGGUCAGAUUACAUAAAGUCUUUGAAAUUUGAAAAGUACCCAGAAACCUUUGAUCCAAGGAAACAAACGUACGGUAAUGACAUAACAUUGUACUUGAAUAAAAUCAAAACCUCACAAAAUCCUUAAAAAAAAAAAAAACUUAUCUCUAAAAUCAUCCAAUAAUAACGCAAGGUGUUGGAAACUUAUGGUGGUUAUGGGGACAGAAGAAGACAACCAACCUAUGAAAGUAAAUUUGGGUCCUCAAGGAAACAGAGGU
Molecule: long non-coding RNA, 54284 nt
Filed under: Populus tremula
Lineage: Eukaryota; Viridiplantae; Streptophyta; Magnoliopsida; Malpighiales; Salicaceae
Description: long non-coding RNA (PTRE_LNC001582)
Source: RNAcentral